This 62726-nucleotide long non-coding RNA is filed under the name Solanum lycopersicum (tomato). RNAcentral's name for it is "long non-coding RNA (SLYC_LNC000148)". The record is from RNAcentral. Lineage: Eukaryota; Viridiplantae; Streptophyta; Magnoliopsida; Solanales; Solanaceae.
UAUAUUAAUUUUAUAUUUAUUUUAAAUAGUUUUAAAGAAUGGUUACAAGUAAAUGAAAAUAAUGGAGGUAGACGUAUUAUCGUAAACCAAAGGGGAGGUGAGUAUUAAAGAGCGAAACAUGGAGGUCUCUAAAAUUAUCUCUAUAAAUAUUAUAAAAAUAAUUUUAUUUUGAUUUAAUUAACAAGUACAAACAUUAACAUCAGGUAUUAUUGUUUUGUCGAAAUUUAUGAUAAUAUUUUAAAUUAUAAUUUGAAACUUAAUUUAACAACUAUAAAAAAAUAUAUUUUUUUUAAAAAAGUGGCCUGGCCCAUCAAGCCACGUACUUGUGGGUUGGGUCGACCAUUUUUGCCCUACGCCAAAAAUGGGCUAGCCCGUCCUGACCCGUAAAAUGUCAAAGCCUAUAUGGAUUAGCCCGGAUGGUGUGGGUUAGCCCAUAUUGACAACUCUAAUUCCAAGUAUGAAAUAAGUCAAAUGAUAUACUGUAAAAUAAUAAUUUCUACUAAACAUUUUAUCCGAGGUAAAGUUUUAUAGUUGAAAAAUCAACAAAAUAAUUUAAGAAUGAAUUUGAAAACUAAAUACUAACUAUGAAAGGAUAUUGAAUAAUUCUCAAAUUAGUCUUGAAGCUCAAAUUGCCUAACAUAAGCUUUUACCCAUGUUAAUGUUUUGAACCAAUAUGAAUAAUUCAAAACUCCUAAUUAUGGAUUAAGGAACUUUUUUUAACAACUGUUAAAGGAUAUAGAAACCUUAAGUCAUUCAUACAAAGUCUUAAGUUAAAUUAUAAGACAACUUAUAUUUUUAUAUAUAUAUUUUAAGAAACUUAACAAUUUCAUUCAGCUCAAAAAAGGAAUUAAAUAGUUAAUUCAAACUCAAAACAUGGAUUCAAAGCUUUUUAACAACUAUGAAAGAACAAAAAUGUUCUCAAGUCAUUCUAUAAGCUUAAAUUAUCAAACUUAAAAAGGGUUUGAAGAAUAAAUGAAAAUUUGAAAUGCCACCAAUUGUAAGAUACAAAAGAAAGAUUUGAUAAACUAAACUCGAGGAGCUCCGUGGGAAUUUUAUCUAAGUCAAGAAGAGAAUUUUAAAGUUGUUAGUUUUUCACAAUCAAAUAUAAUAAAGAAAAUAUACUAAUAUCAAGGCAAAUAAGAGAAUAAGAAAACGAGGGGGCGGCUGAAAUUUUAUUUCACCCCCAAGUCCAGCCCUUCAGGUUGAUGCUGCUGCCGUUUAGCUUGGCCUUUUGAAAGUCCAAAACUUUCAAAAAAAAAAUUUAGCCUUUCUAAGGCUGCUGCUGCUGCUUCAUUAAUUAGGAAUUUUAACCCAAAUUUGCUCCUCAUUUUCAGCCUUUUGAGGUUAUCGUAACUCUGCCUCAAUUACUGCAAUUUUUGGGACUUUUCAAGUACGAUAAAAUGCUAUUAUUUUAGCCAUUUAGGCUACUGCUGCUGCUGUAUUUUUGGGUGUCCAAACGAAUAAUAUUAGCUCCCUUUCACAACUCCGAAGAAGGUUGACUCAAAAAGAGGAAAAUGCAAGAGAAGGGAGUCCAUUGGACUCAUUCACGGAAAGCGUGUUCAUGAAAAAGGAGGAAAAGAAAAGAGUAAAAUAAGAACCUCAAUAUGAAUAAUAUCAAGUCAAAUUAACGAUCUAGUUAUCAUCAUGUAAAAAUCCAAAACACAGUGAACAAUAUUUUUAAAGUAAUAAAAUAUGAUUUCUUAAAACUAAUAAAGUAACUUAACCGUAGUCAUCCUAACUACAUGGUGUUGCUAAGAAAUUUGAGCAAGUAACGAAGUGCAAUGGAAAUAAUUAUGAAUGUCAUACUCUAACUUAAACAAUUACACGGAAGAGGCACAAAGGUUAUAGAACAUAGAGUUUUGCACCCUUUCAGUCGCCAACUGAUCAUAAUUUAAACAAACAAUGAAACAACCAAAAAACUAAUUCAAACAGUAAGUAUAACAAUCCAAACAAGCUGCUACUGGCUCCAUUUACACCCAACUAACACUUACAUGUAAGCACAAUAAACUGGUCAGAACUAUCAUGACCAGUCCAACCAUAAUUUAAUCAACAACCAUAUAAGCAACACAACUACGAAAAGCUAAUCAUCUCAAACCAAAUUUCACAAAUAAGGAGAUAGAAUAAUGCCAUCAGAGGGACAAAAUGACGUGGGAAGUGAAAGAGGCGAGACCAUGAAACGAAAGGAUAAUUUUUUUUAAAGCUACAAAACAUUUUCUGAGAUUAAAGUGACAAACUUGAACAUUAAUCAUCCACAACUUGCUGUGAAUAUUGACAAUCAAACAAAAGGGGUAUUCUAAUUUCAACUUACUGUAAAUAUUGACAAUCAAACAAAAGGGGUAUUCUAAUUUUCCAAUAGAGUUGAAGAAAACCUGCAAGAUUUUGUGGAUAUAAUCAAACACAGACAAUCUAAUAUAUUGAAAACACUAAACUACCAAUCAUAAUAUGAAGACAAGAAGCCAACAAGAUAACUAAAAAAUAUGCAGACGAAAACCCUUCAUAAUGCUAAAAAUAAUCAGAGAAAAUUAAAUUAAACUAGCAAGAAGGAAAAUAUAUGUGAUUACUUUGUGCUGAGCAGCAAAUGGGGACAACGAGUUUGGAAACGAUUCCACCUCUUUAACUCAAAAAGCCACAAAAUGUUUUAAAAUUUUAAUUGUGGAACCAAGAAUUCCCAAAAAUUUUUGGGUAUUCUUUGGUCUCCGAAAAUCCUCCUCUGAACAGUGAAAAGAAAGGGAUUUAUAUAAGAGAGUUUUGGGGAAAUUUCUUGUUAGACACUAUGUGGGAGAAUCCCAAAUUCAAAAAUUAGCAAAGAUAAGGGUGGGUGAGCUGGAGGGUGUACGAAUUCAUACCAUUUUCAAAUAGAAAUUAAAGAGGGGAGAGUCGUCUGAUUUUUAGCCAAGAACGAGCUUGUAAGGAGAUGGAGACACCUGGCCUUGUCCUCCAAUUUUCAAGAGGAUCAGGUCGAGGGAGAGAGACACGUGCGAGACUCAAUUCGAUGGGCGCACUGCAUGGCUGUUUUGGACAAGUCGCGUACUGCUGGAGUUUCUGGUUUCGCUCUUGUUAUGGGUUGACGUUGUUGAGGCUGCGGAUGUGUUAUUGUUUGAUGAGGGAAAUUGAGAGCAGAGAAGUGAAGGAGUUAUUUGGGCCUGGUCUUGUGAAUUGGGCCAAGAAUUUGAGUUUUCUUUUGUUUUCAUUGAAAAGCUAAGGCCCAAUUUGAUUUCAAAGGAAAAAAGACCCCUGGUAUUGAAAAUGAUAAGAUGAAAAAAAUUUAAAACAAAAUGACUUAUGCUUUCAAUUAAUUAUUAACACUCUUAAUUCAGACAAAGUAAAACAAUCAUCUUCACAUUAGGUUUUCAUUAUUAUUAGUUUUUUUUUAAAUAAAAAAUUCUAACUUAGUUAAAACACCAUUUUAGUAAAAUGAUUUUCUAAAUAUAUAUUGUAAACUAUAUAAAUCUUUAUAUUUCAAGUAUAUAGAAAUAUAUUUUAUAGGAAAAGAAAAAGGAAAAUCACCAUAAAAAUAAAGUUUUUUGAUUUUUUCAAAAUAAUUACUUCAAAUUGUUUGAAAUUCAAGAAGCUUGAAAAAUAUUUAAUUAGCAGAGGGACAAAAUUGAGUGUCAACACUAAAAAGGACAACAAAUAUAACAUGAUAGACCCACUAGGUAAGCCUAUAAAUCCAACUAAUGCAGGGUUUCCUAAUUAAGGACUCCUUAUUUCCCCUCACGCCUUCUCUGGAUUCCUAAUUAAUAGACCCGAUAUUAUUUUUGUUAUGAAUUCCAAAAGUAGACAAAGAAUGAAUUACUCUUUCUAGGCUCAAAAGGUCGUCAUGCAAUUUGAUUUGUAGUUCUUUAAGCCAAAUAUUAAUGUCGCUAUCUCUGUUUGUAAUGAUUUAUUGUUAUAUUAUAUCUAGUAAAUAGGAGUAUUCGUUUAACAUGAAAAAAAAUACUUUGACUUAUUUUUUAAAACACAAGAACCCAAUGCAUACUCCUAAAAACCCCAAUUAUUCAUGUUUGGCUGUUCAAGGAUUAUCAGGUAUUUUCUAUAAACUGAAUCAAAUUGGAACAAAAACUUUAUUUUAUUAAGGGUUUUAGUGUAUGCAUUCAUCCUCAUAGAUUGAGAUGAAAUUCGAUCAUUUGACUUCAACAUUAUUGAUUUAUCUUUUUGGAAAAUGGGCCAUCGACCAAAAAAAAUAAUAGAAAAUUGAAUUCCAAAAGAAAAAUGACAGUUAGUUGAAUCAAUUUAGGUAUCAAUUAUAACCUGAUGUGACUGUAAUACAUCAAAAUUUUCUAAGACCAGACUCGAAUCAUGUUGGGUUUUAAAGAAGUGUGAAUGGAAAAUGAAGAGUUGCGACUUUUAUAAAGAGUUGUGACUUUUAUGAAAUAUUGCGAUUUUUAUGAAAAGUUGUGAUUCUUAUGAAAAGUUGCGACUUUUAUGAAAAGUUGCGAUUUUUAUGGACAGUUCUAACUUUUAUUAAAGGUGACGACCUUUCUGAAAGAUUGUGACUUUUCCAAAGGUUUGUGACUUUCCGAUAAGGCACAAUAAGAACCUUUUUGUACUACCCUUCUUCUAUAAAUAAAGGGAUUUCCUCUCAGUUUAAUAUAGAAUUCAUGGACUUCUUCUUCAACUAUUAAAUCUAGUAUUCUAAGUGUAUUUUAUUGUCGUUGAGUGGUUCGCUGACAUAGGAGUUUUGGUAUCUAUACUCUGGUGAUUGAGAUCCUUUUACUCUGGGAGGCCAUAUUCCAAAUCAAACCCCGGAUACUAGAGGGGAAUAAUUUCCUUAAGGGGACACUGUGAUUUCAAUGGACUUGAUCUUUUUCCUAUUAAAAAUUUUCCAGAUUCUAUUAUGUGUUUUACAAAUUUUAGAAUUGUGAAUUAAUUUCAGUUCUUCUAUUCUUUUGUUCUUCACUGGUUCAUUAAACUUGGUAACUUCGUGUUUCUGCAAAGUUUGUUGGAAUCAGUAAGAUUCUUUACACACAUAUUAACAAUAAUUCUUCUUUAAGAAAAAUAUUUCGUAUAUUUUAUUAAAAAAUCUGUUUUUGAUUCUUGUUUGCGCGAUAGCUUUAAUUUUCUAGUAGUGAAAAUGUUCUUGAACAUUGUUGUCUUACAAAGAUGUUCAAAGGUUUGUUCUAAGUAUGUUUGAAAUACAAGAUGAACAACAAAUCAUUCUAUAACACCACACAGCUCUACUCAUAAAAUUAUAAUUGUACGACCCUUUUGGGGGUCCAUACAAGUCACCCAUCAAUUUUUAUAUUUUGAGUCAACUUCAAACAAUCAUAUCUCUCAUGACAUAAUGAAUUAGGUGGUCCAUGACAUAUUAACAUAAAGGUCUUUGAAUCCUUCAAAAACCAUCAAAUUUUUCCUCAUUUUGAGUUUAGAAAAAAAAGUUAUGUCUGUUUUUGAGAAGCCUUGUCGGCCAAGUGAAGUUCAACGACCAUCAAUACGGCCCAUGAAUUUUAACAGACCAGGAUACCUUAACUGUCUGUGAAACCUCCCAUUUAAGGUAUUUUGUCAAAUUUAAAAGUUGGGGUCAUUUUGGUCUUUGUCCUAUACAUUUGGAAUUUAAACUACAACAUUUUAACCCAUAUUCUAAGCCUAAACCAUGGUGUUUUACACCUAAUUAAGGUCUUAAAAGUGUUUAUCAAUUCUUUUACGUUAAUUAACACUUCAAAAUAUUACGAGGUUCCAAGAGAAGAAAAAUUAGGGUUCAAGUGUUCUUCGAGUCACGUCAAUUUUGCCAAAAAACCUCGUUCUUGCAAACAUAGUGUUAGACUAGUUCUUCUACAUUCCAUACAUUUACUUUCAAAUCAAUAAAGGGGUAAUGUGGGAUUCUAUCCUUAAUUUUAGUUUCUUGAGAUUAGUUGAUAUUUAUUUCUUGAGUUCCUGAUUCUUUUGGAAAUAUUAUUCCUAAUUAUUAAAUUCCUAUAUGUUAUGCAUUGUGAUUCUUGAGUUUGUUGGCUCAUGUCUAUAUUUCAUCAUGAACUCUAUGAUUUGAGUAUUCUUGAGAUGAGGAAUGUCGUUGAGUUAUGAGUUCUUGAAAUCUGAGUAUUGAAUUUUCUAUAUUGUUAUUGAUAUCCUUCAGUUGAUUCGUUCAUGUCUAAUUUUAGCGUGAACUUUAUACUUGAGUAUUCAUUGAAUUCUCAUUGAGAAUCUUUUAAACAAAAUAUUACUGUUUAAACUGAAUUUUGAGGAAGUAAUGAGGAGUUUAAGAAAAAGUAUAAGAGAACUAAGUACAUCCAAAAUGUUUUUUUUAUAUGAGGAAAGAGUAGACCCUUUUUUCUGAAAAGUUAAAAGAGUUUUUUGAAAAAUUAAGUACAAAGAAAGUACCUCUUAAAGAGUGUUUUUUUUUCUUAGUAUAUCUCAACAAAGAGAAAGUAUUUUUACUUUGAACAAAGAGAACAUUGUUUUCUAAAUGAGCAAUGAGCUGUAGAGAUAUUUCAAAGCAUAUAACUCUUUUAAAAGGCUUGCUAGAGAAAUUAUUUCAAACUAGAGAAAAAGAAAUGUUUUUAUACAUUUGAGAAAGAGUAUAUAUUAUUGGGUGCAAAAUCAUACUUUUUUAGGUGAAUCCUUGGUACCUUUGGAUGAUCUUAGUGGAUCCACUUAGUUGAUGUGUCCUAUAUCCCAUAUAGGAUAAUUCAGGCAACGUGGACAAGGUGUUGUAUCAUUGUGAUGGUUGUCAGUUAGAGAAUGUCCCAAUAGAGUUAAAAUGUAUUUUUAUAUAUUACUUAUUAUGUUGAGUGUCAGUGAUAAGUAAUAUUUUUGUAAAGAUCAAAUAAUUUCAUUCCUUUAGUUCAUUAAAUUUGUUGAGUUUAUGUAAUGUCUAUUGUAUCCCUUUCAUACAUUUAUUUUUUUAGUUAUAUUGCAUACUUAUACAUUCAAAUGUACUGAUGACAUUUGACCUAUAUCCUUUUAUGAUGCACAUAAAAGUGUUCAGGAUCAUCAACAUGUGCUUCCUUGAGAUCACUCUACUCUCCAGUUAGCUUUUAGUGAACCUCAUUGUAUUCGGAGGACUUCACAUUUACUUUAAAUUUAGUAGUUUCAAGGUUUCAUGGGUCUUAUCCUAAAACCUAUCUUAAACAUUGGAGACUUCAUAGAUAGAUAAAGUUGAUGAGUCUUUCAGUACUACUUUUCCUUGCUUUUUUUGCAAACUAUUAUACUUAUAUUAUCUAGUAUUUUAAAGAUAAAUGAGUUGGAUAUUUAAUUUGAGUUUAAAUUAUUCUAUUUUAAGUAUUAUUUCUUGAGUGAAUCCGCUAUGUAGUUAUCCAACCCAAAGGUUUUCUUGGGGACCAAAAAUGGUUGUCGAGUAUCGGCCACGUCUAGGAUGUAGGGUCGGAGUUUGGCAAUGUUGGUAGAUGAGCAUAGAUUUAAAGUACCCUAGGGUGGAUAUGAAGUCGUGUCAGUAGGAUUUUACCUAUAGUUGUGAGGGUCCUACUUAUAUAAAUGAGGAACUACACACAUUCAAGAAAAAUUUCUCUUCUUUCAUACUCUAAAUCGUGCAAUAAAAUCAUGUCAUAAGAAAUUUGAUCAAACACGUGUCUUUCUCAAAUCCAUUCAAGUACCCAUCAUACUCAAGGUAGUUGAAAAUCAAAUCCCAAAUACUUAUCGAUGAUUUAUUGUGAGCAAAAGUCUCUAGAAAGUCAGAAGAUUAUACAGGAGCAUGAGAGAAACCUGUGUGUGAGCUUAUGUUGACAUUCAAAAGAAUGUACUCUUAUUCAUAUGAAUUGUGCGUACAAACUAAAAGUAGAUGUACUUCCAACCUCUCUUCUCUAAACCUUGUUUCGAUUGAGAUUCUUAUGACGAAGUAUGUUGAGCUUGGACAAUAUUUUCACUCAAAAAGAUAGUAUGACUUAUAAUGUCAUAAGUCCUAGUAGUAAAAGUGCGCAGAGUUAAAAGAAUGCAUGCAGAGGUAUAGUUAUCUAAGAAAGGAAGAUAGUGAUAUGAGGCGAAUUAUGUUGUUGCAGUCAUGCACCCAGUAGUUAUUACUGAGGAGUUUUUCCUUAUGGAUAAACUAAUAAGUAAUGAGUUUGUAUAAAUUUCAUGAUAGAAGGUAGAGUAAUUGUUACAAGUCAGGAUGAGAUCGAGUAGACUUUCACCAAAAGGGAGUUUAUGAUGAGUCAAUAUAGUGUUAGUCAAGAUCAAGUAUAUGUGUAGAAUAAAAUAGCAGAGUAGUCAUCAGGUGAUAGAUCUAAUUUAGGCUUACGAUUUUUAAGGGAUGAACAUAUAUAUGGUUAGAACUAAUUAGGCAAUGAUGAUUUUUAAGGGAUAUCCCAUGAUAUUCACGAAUUAUACUAAUUUGAUUCUCACUUUGAUGCGAUACUUAAGAAACUCUCUUCGAAUUUGGUUAAAUCCUUAUUAUAAAAAAAGUUUUAUUUCCUUGUUCAAAAAUCAUAUUUUAAAAAUUCUUUACUAAAAAAAAAUUCCUUCCCCACCCCACCUAACCACAAAACAAACAUAGAAGAGAAGAAUUCUUAAUUAUUUAUUUAAUCGAUAACAAAAAAGAGAAGCAAAAUAAUUUUUGUUGCCUCUUUUAUUUUUUCAAAAAGAAAGAACUUCACGGACCAUGUGCACUUGAUUUUUAGUUUUAUGAGAUACUCAGUUACUCUUUUUGGAUUCGGUAGUCUUAUCAAAAUGUUUUAUUUCAGACUCUAAAAAGUUUGAUUAUUGAGUAACUAACAUGUAUUUAUAAGGGCAAAAUUUUUGAAAGACUAUCUGAACCUGUUAUCAAAAUUGUCUCUUUUACAUCAUGAUCGCAAUUGGUCAUACCUUAUUAGAAUAUACAAAUGAGAUCCUCUACUUGAUAAUAAAGAAGAAAUUAUACAUCGUUAAUUGCAUGGAUAUCUUUACUAAUAUUUUCCACCAAAUUUCUUUGGAAGAGAUACCAUUUUGGGAGAAUUUAUGGUUAAGCCGCUUCAUAUAGACAUGGCGACAAGGAAUCAAAUAGGACCAAGUUAUGCAAGAGUAAGGGUAUAAGUGUAUUCAUUGGGAAUUAUCACAGAUCCAUAAACAUUGGCAUGAAGAAGAGGAAUGAAGAAAUUUUGAUGAAUUUUGAUAAAAUAUGAUUAUGUUCCUAAUUAUUACAAUAUAUACAUGAUAUCAAGGAAAUAAUGAGGAACAAUGCUAUUGUUAUGAAUCAGCCCCAUCCCAAUUAGUAUGCUAACAAGUAUAUCACAGGGAUAGGUAUUGGGACAAGUAGGCCCAAUACAAGCAACAUGGUCACGCCUUCACAAAGGAUAAUUUGCAUCCAUAUUGAGGGUAUUGUUACAUAGAAAAUGAUAUCAUUAUGAGAGGGGAUCGUGAAUUAUGGGAAAGACAGAAUCUACGUUUCUCAUCUUCAAUCGUGAGUCUAAGCUUCUCAUCUCCCAUCUACCGUUUAUUAAUUCCCUAGUUCUUACGUUUAGUGUUUCUAUGAUUCAGUUGGGUUUUUUGUUGUUUGCAUUGUUGCAUUUACAUUGUGGAUUUGUAAAUGAACUGUUACGACCCGAGGGUAUACCCUAGAAGUUAUGAUAUUCUUGAAUCUUAACACGAUGUCGUCGACCUCUCGAAGGUCUAAGACAAGCCCUAUAUCUUUAAUGACAUAAUCAUAAAAUAGCGGAAUAUUUAAAACUUUUCAUAGAACAUCAUAUGCUAGAACAUUACUUUAUAUAUAUAUAUAUAUAUAUAUAUAUAAUAUCAUAAUACAUAGUUAGACUGUAAGUGUCUUGUGCCAUCUUAGACCAACAUCAAUAGAGUAAAAUAGGGACACGACCCUUAACAACACAAAACAUAAGUCUAAGCUAUUACAUAAAUUUAAAGAAAUAUCUUGACAUAGGCAACCCUUGAAUCAUAAGGGUCCCUUUACUUGAACAUGGGAGAUAUAUCCAAGAUCUUCACUUAGGAGACAUCUUCUAGCUAUCACCACCUACACUUGUGUAAAAAUAUGAACAAGAAUGAUACUAGUACCAGAAUGCACUAAGUAUGACAACUAUAAAAAAUGUGCAUUUAAAGAGGAAAUUUCAUUUAAAAUCAUGCAAGGUGUCUUUUAUGUAAACAUCGAAUAUAUGCACAUAUAAGCUGAAUAUAGUUCACAUAAAUGAUAUAGACAUGAGCACUACUCAUAAUAACACAUAACGUCAUUUAUCAUACUUUAAAACAUAUUCAAUACAUACCAUACAUUACCUCUCUUUCUAUCUUACUUCUUUCCUUAAGUAACCCUCAAGUGUACUUAGUACAAUGUCUCACUUUGAGGUCAUCUUAGAAUAGUCUUUCAUAAUAUGCUUCAUAAACACAACCACAUAUACUCACAAGUCAUAAGCAAAUCAAAGACAUAAACUUCACAUAAGGACCAUAACCUAAUGCAACUCCUAAGUCACACUAGUGUAAUAUCUACGUAGCAUCCCAUAAUGAUACUUCCACCAAGUGUACCUUAGAAGUCACCCUAGACUAGGCAUAACAUAUUCAACAAGUCAUAACAUAAUCAAUCAAGUCAUAACAUAUUAAUUUGCAACUAGAAAUAAGGCCACAUACUUCAUACAAACAUAUAAAGACUCUUUACGUUACUACCACCUUAGUCAUAAAUCAUUCAGUUCAUAAUAGGUAAAGUACCCUCAUAACCCCUUCACAAUAUUACUUGUUCAAUGUAUACAUGGAGUCCCAUACCUCCACAUAUACUAAGUACACUCAUUUAGAAAUCAUAAGUGUAACUCACACUCAUAGUCAUAAUUCAUAUAUUAACAUAACAAGGUCACUUAAUAUACAUUCAUACAAGUCAUAUAUAACAUACGUAUUUACUUCAUAAAGGUCUCAAAUCCUAUCCUUUCUUGAAGUAUCUAGCGCAAUGUAUAGGUAGGGUCCAUAGUCCUUCUAUACGAAGUACACUUCUCAAGAAAUUUGGAUUAGAGUUCAUAUUCUUAUCUUAGAUAAGUUAUUACCUUCGGGAGAUAUAUCCAUACCAAACAUAGACCAUUUGAGAUACAUAUAAUUCGGUGUUAUACUCCCACACCAAAAAGAGGGGGUUAACACUUGCCGAAGUUGCAACCAUUCGAAAAUAGCUAUUCUAGGUGGGUCCACUAAGCUAGAGUCCUAUGUAGGCACAUUGUUAUGGGACAAAGAGAUUGCUUCGAGAAACCUUGACUACCUCAGCGCGAAGGUUUCUAUCUCAUUAGACAACACAUAUAUUAGGAACCCACACUACUAGUCAUGAAGAAACCCAUGUGGGAGGUCGGACUUACUAACGUGAAGCUCCCACUCUCAUUUUUCAUGUUCACUUGGUGCAAAGAAAUAACUCCCUUUUUUAAAUAUCAUUAAUCCUUUAGAUACCAUUAUUUCAAAAAAAAUAGGUCUUAAGGACUUACUCCUUCAUAUAUUAUAUAGAUCAAAGGUAUCUAUGGUGAGAAUGCUACAUUCACCAUAGAGCCUAUCUUUUGUGAGAAUUUUCUUUCACAUAAUCAUAUCAUAUUCAUACACGCAUGUGUGUGUGUACACAUAUAUGUGAGAUCUACCUUCACAUAAACACUUUUAGGCACACAUGAUCAUAACUUCAUAAAUCAUAUACUUUAUAUGCAUAGAAAUAGGUAAUGAUGCAUAGGGGAACUAUGCUUUCCUUAGUCAUCAUGAAUCUAUCCUACUCAUAGAUAUGCAUGAAUUGUGUGUGUGUUCAUAGAUGAACAUGAUCACAUAAUGAGGAUCACAUAGUAUUGAAGAAGCCACCCUCUAAAGAUUACACCACAUGUACAACAUUGCUCAAGUCUCAAGUCAUACACACAUAUAUAGUAUUAAGGACUAUAACCUACAAUCAUUCACAUUACAUCAUAGGAGACAAGAACAUACUCAAUCAUUAGAAUAGAAGACUCCUAGUAUACUUUGAUCACACAUUCAUACAUGGUUCAUAUAGGUCGGGGUCAUGCUAUAAGAGUAUUCAUCAGCAUUAGCCAUCUUAGGCCACACCUAACCCUUACAUGAUCAUCACAUAUAUACAUUACAUCAUCCACAAACCUAAAUCAUGCAACUAGUGUGGGAGGCUACUCAUAUACGUCAGAUAACAUCAAUUUACUUAAAAUAUGAUAUUAGAAUCAAGGCUAAAUCCUUGAACUUCCUAAGUAUGCAAAUCAUUAUAUUAAUUCAUGUCGCAUCUAAUGUCUUCAAGGCCAUUAUCAUAAUACAUAAACAUGUACAAGAAUAUAAACACCGCCACCAUAAGUGGACCAUACCAAUCAACAAAAUUCAAUGUACAAUCUAGGAUAAUUAGAAGAAAUUGGUCAAAUUACCAAAUCUCCAAGUUAAUGAUCAUCUUUGAUCACUCCCCCAAAAUUCAUAUUCAAUUGAUAUAGUUAGUUAUAGAAAUAAGCAAUUCAAUACAAUCUAAUCACAAUUCUAUAAGCAUGAAAUCAAGAUCACAUGACCCACAUUAUGGGUGAAUUUGAGAAAUUAGGAGGAUCAUGAGUUCUUCAUAAAAUUGGAUAAAAAUUCAUUAUAAAAUCAGUAACUAAACAUAUAUUCUAUUAUUAGAAUUCUUUUGAAAUCAAUUUGAGAAUCAACCCAUGGCUAGAUUGAAAAAUAGGAUUUUUGACUUAAAAUCAUCUUUUGAAAACCUUUGAAAGGAAUCCAUAGAUAAAUGGUUAUAUAGGGAUGAAGGAUGCCAUAACUUAUUGAUGGAAGAAGGAUUGGAUAAGAAAGAUCCAAGAAUCCAACUCCAUAGCUUUUUCUUGAGCUUGGUAUUCAAUAGAGGUUUUAGGAGAAUUUCGAAAAGAUGAGAGUUUUGGGGAUUUUGAUUUCUUAAUGGGUUUUGGGGUUUUGGAUUUUGAAAUGUGUUAAAUAGGUCUAAAAAUCAACUAAUAAACAUCCCCAUAAGUUACCAAAACACCCCAUAUUUAUUAGGACUUUUAGACAUGUCCAACUCAACUUUUAGUUUUGGAAUCUUUUUAGAGGAACAAGUCCGCGUCGCAGAGCUUUUCCCGCAAGUUAUUGGAAAUUAAUUUUGGAUAGUGAAGUGUGCUAUAAGGGUGAGGCGCACCUGUGUUUCACCAAAGCACAAAUUCUGCUGCCUUGGGCAGCCUGCUUGGCCAAAGUUUGGGUCCCUUCGUGGAUCCCUAGGGUGAUCCUUGGGAGGUCGUACCGUGACGCUUUGACCCUUAACAUGCUUAUUAGGAUAUUUGGGUCAACUACGCUGCUUGUCAACUCCAAACAACACAUAAAAACAACGCAAACAUACAAGGACUCGCUAGCACGUCUAAAGACCAACUUUCGAACGUCUUGACGUUCUUAGACGUUUGACCUCAAAACGACUUGAAAUCAAUUAUGCAAACUAUGAAACAAUUAAUUAACCUAUUAUUAACCUUUUUAGGGAUAUGUGAGUCUCUAGCUACCUUAGCUCAUUUUAAGGGUGUAACAUGAACUCUAGUCUUGUUAAUAUAGUUGAGAAGUUGGAAACUAUUACUUUGGACUUGAUUUUGUUAAAACCAUGCAUAAAAUCCUGAACUAUACCCAGAGAAGGAGAUUAUUGACAAACUUGUGGAAAAUAUCAAUGAGGAGGAAAGAAAAUCUUAGAAGAUAGGUAACGACAAAAAGAAAGCAAAUAAGACUCAACAAAACAAGACUGAGUUACGGGACAAAAGAAAGCAUACAAAAGAAUUUUAGAAUGAAGGACAAAUUAUGUCUCAUUACAUCAAUGUUUUGGAGAGGUUGGAGUUAUGAGAACAAAUUGAAGAAAUUUCUCAAGAGAAUCUAUUACCUGGGGCAAUUGGCGAAGACUUCAAUGUAAUUCUUAGUGAAAAAGAAAAGCCUGCUGUGUUGAAAUUGAAUUUUAAUCCUUACAAUAUAUAUUAAUCAUCAAGCUUCUUCAAUCUUCUAUAAUUUAAAAUAACUAGUUUUCGAAUAUUUAAAAUAUAAAAUAAAAAAGUUUGCAUGUUAUUUAAAUAGUUUUGUCAGUUUUUAUAAUUUUUACAUAAUUAUGUCUAUAUUUGAACAUUUUAUGAAUAUUUGAAAAUCAUCUCAUAAUAUUAUAUUUUUCUAGUUGAAUAUUUUAUUUAAAUAAUAUUGUUUUGAAGAAUAUAAGAGGGAGAAGGUAGAAAACGAAAACAGGAGAAAGGGAGGACAGAAUAAAGAAUAUACAUACAAAAUAUUUGUAGAAAAUAAUUUAAGAGGAUAGAGAAGUUCAAAGUUUAUUUUGAGCUAAUUUGUGGCGUUGAAAAUCUCUCAUCUUGCUUGUUGUUCUAGUUGCUGCUCGAAAAAAGGUAAUAUCCCUCUCCUUUUAUUAACUUCAUCUUUAUGUUGCAUUUUGUUGUUUAUGUUUUAGAUAUUGAUUAUAUUAUUGUUAUUUACUUUCUGAUCAUUUCCUUAAUGGUGAUACCAAUUUUCUGUUUAAGAAUUUGAAUAUAGUUAAGUGUUACUCCUCUUGCUGAUAAAAUAUGUUGUUGAGUUAUUAAUCUAGUUCAAGCUAUGUUUUGAUCAAAUCUUCCCCAUGUUUUGUCAUAGUUUCAGAAUAUAUCUGGUUGAGUAUUAUACUCCAAUACUUUCCAGUUGUGUUUAAUCAUAUUAUUGCUUAAUUUAUGUAAAUCUCAAGCAAUAUUUUCUUAUUCUCCUUAAAGAUCAAGGUUGUAUGAAUCAAAUAGAUUGAUGAUGUACAGUAUGAAGCCCACCUCUCGAAAAUGGUUUCAUUUGUUUGUUCUUAUAAGCUGCCAAAUAUUUAAAUAUUGACAUGUUGAUUUCUACUUUGGAUUGUCGUUUUUUUAUCUCAUGAGAUUGUUGUUAUUUUGUUUGCUUCCUUAUUAGCUUAUGAUUGAUAAUGUGUGUAUGGUUAAGGAUAAAUGAGUUAAUACAGCGUGUAUUCCUUAUUAAUUGUCAAAUUUUUUGUUUAUAGAAUGCCAUGAGAGUCUAGUUGGACUCAGAAUAUCCUUAUUUGUAUGCCAAGGGGCCAUGGAGGCCCUAAACUCUCCCCUCGAGUCCAUUCUUUAGUCAAUUGAAGCAAAAUGGAAGCCAACAUACAAAUUUGGAGGCUGAUAUACAGGUCUUGCAGCAAAAAAAAUAGAGCAAAUCAAGUAGAUACCUGUUUUAUACAUUAAAAUACAUACGGUAAUCAUUGAUAUAUGAUAACUACAUACUGCGUACGUGGACGAAAAAUGGUUUAGGUCCAAAUUAUGACAGAUUGAAGAAAAUAGGGUCUGCCAGCCCAACAACUUGAAAUUUGGGCCGGAAGAGGCCAAUAUUUUUAAAGGAUUGAAUAGGGUAUUAAUAAAAAAAUGAUAUAUGGUGGUAGCAUAAGUUAGAAAAUUCAAGUUUCUAGAUUAACUAUUGAACAAAGCAACAAGCUCUAUAUCCACGAGCCUAGACUCUUGGCGGGACCGACACUCGAAGACCAUUGUUGAUCCUCAAGCAAACCCUUUGGCUGCUUAAAUCAGCGGAAGACAAACCUCACCUUUAACACUAGUAAAAACAUAAUAAAAGGGAAAAAUACGUUAUAUUAUAACUUUGGAAAAAAUGGCAUUUGAGUAUUAAUAACUGAAAAAAGCUCCAAACUGAAAACUUGUAGUUUAUGAAGACUCUAAACUAUCGAGAGAGGGAUGUUUGGACAGACCCCACAACAUCCUUAAAGCUAAGAUAAUGCUAGAAAUAAAAAGAUGUCCUUCAGAAUGCAAGGAGGCUCACCACAAAAUCUGAAGCUCAAUAUGGAUGAACGAGGUGUUACAUGCUGAUCCUGGGUACCUGAUAUAAGUUCCUUUAUAUGUAUAUCAUUUGGGUCAAGUAUACUUUUAUGUUCAGAAAAGCCAAGGUAAGUUCAUCUAAUUCCUUCAAGCUUAAGUCAUUGUUUAGCUCUCCAACUCGCAUACUCAUACAUUCAAUAUACUGAUGUUAGUUGGCCUGCAUCGUUUCAUGAUUCAGAUGCAGGUACCUAGGAUAAGCAUGCAACCCUUCGUUGAUCCAUAUUGAGCUUCAGAUUUUGUGGUGAGCCUCCUUGCAUUCUGGAGGACAUUUUUUAUUUCUAACAUUAUCUUAGCCUGUAGGAUGUUGUGGGGUCAGUACCAACAUCCCUCUUUAGAUAGUUUAGAGGCUUCAUAGACUUUACUUAUAUAAGAAAGUAGUAUUGUCAUUGUGGCAAUUUUAUUAAACGAAAACCAUCACUAUGAGCCUAAGUGAUGAUACAACAUCUUACCUCAUGUUGCAAGAGGACAAUCCUACAUCUUGCCAUCGGUAUAGAACCUUACUCAACUUAGUGGAUUCACUAGCUUUCCUUAUGUGAUCAUUUAAAAAGUAUUACACAUUAAUUCCCAUGUCGACUACAUGGUUUACAUGGAGUCUUGAGUUAAUAUGAACUCUCAUCUCCACAUCGGUGGUCAAUUCAACUACUCCCAAAAAUGUACUUUAGCUCAAACUUUUAAUAAAACAUCUUUCCUUUGGGUUGAGAUAAUUUACUGAACCCAUUAGCUUUAAAAAUUUCCUUUUGGAAUCAAUGUUCCCCUUUUAUUUCAAAAAUCUUUUGGAACUUCUAGUUACCCUCCUUACUCAAAUGUGAAACAUUUGUAAAACUCUAGGGAAUACUUAUUUUUCUUAUAUAUUUUUAAGAAAUGAACUCAACUCUUGCUCUUUACUUACUUGAAAAUUUAACUCUUAGGGAAUACUUAAUUCCCUUAUAGCUUUUGAGAUAUGAACUCAACUCUUUACUUGAGUUGAACUUUAAGUCUUUAAAACAAAGUGAAAACAUUUGCAAAGCAAACUCUACUUUGCCUUUCUUCUUAACCUCUAGCCUUGACUCUUAACCUCUUUGACUUUGACCUUACUUUCCUUGAAUUAAAAUUACGGAUUCAAGGAUCAUGAUCUCAUGUUUAUGGAUAAUUUCAUGAUGUUUAGAUGUACCUUAGAGUGUUGGAAACAACUAGGAAUGAGGGGUGUAUCUCUUACGAAUUAGAAUGAAAAGAUAGGGAAAAGACAUGGUCUCCAGGGGAUCAUGACGCUUUGAGAGGCAUUGAGCGCCAUAGCGUGACUCAUAGAGGUUGUCCUCAGGCGCUCUGAGAGGUGCGGCAUGCAAGAGCCUAACGGACACACUUUGUCGGGAGGUGCUUUGGAGGCUAACGCUCCAAUAUUCCCCAACGAGUUUAUCGACCUUCUUCUUCAUUUUUAAUCUCUAAAACUUUCAAUCGAUACCACCCCAAACACUUAGGAUCCCUAAUCAAAUUAUUGCCCAGUAAUUUAGACCCGAAAAUAGUCCUAAAACAUUGAUUACAACUAACAGCGAUCGACAAUAAUCCAAUUAACAAGAACGUCAACUUUCUUUCAAGAUUCCAACAUAUAACAUGAGUUAAUUCAUGAACUUGACUGAUUUGAAUAAAAUUGGUGCAUUGGUUAAGUAACCCAACACAAAAGAGUCCACGUACCUUGUCAGGGAUCAUCCCCGACGAAAAUCGACGAAGCUAAACUUUGUGUUCUUGCGUCUUCUUCUUCCUUCUCCUCUUUUCUCCUUGCUUUCACAACCCUAGUCUAUACGAAGCUAAACUUUGUGUUCUUGCGUCUUCUUCUUCCUUCUCCUCUUUUCUCCUUGCUUUCACAACCCUAGUCUAUUUUCUUAGUGCGUAAAAUGAAUGGGAUCAUUUUAGACCCCAAAAUAUUACUCCAAAACGAAAUUAUUAAUUGACUUAAGGAAAAGACCAAAACACCCUUAUUAAAUACAGUUUUUGAACUUCCCCUGCUCAAUAGCCCAUCUUCUGAAGGUCAUAUCUCACUAAUACGACCUCAGAAAUUUGAAAACUUGGCGUCAUUGGAAAUAUAUUCCAAGUAUCUUUCCAUCCAUAUAAAGAAUUCACCAAAACUCUUCCUGAUCUGGUAGUUAUGGCCUUUUGAGAAUGACCAAAACUUAGUUUUGAAAUCUGGAAAUUUUCCAGAUUUCCUUAAUUAUUACCAAAUUUGAUCUUUCUUGUUUUUCUCAGCUUAACCUUAGUUUAUCUAGAAACCGAGAUGUUACAGGGACAUGGAAUGAGAAAAGGAAAUUUAAGUGAAUGAGUUUGUAAUAAACGGAGAGUGAAAUGUUAAUAAGUACUGGAAUGUGUAUCACCUUAAAUGAAUGCACAUAUUAUCGAUAAUAUCAAACAUGGCUCAAAGUAAAGGAUAUUGAAAAGAGUGGUGGAUUGAAAAUUCAUAAGGGAUCGUUACUAUGAAGUGAACAUAUCAUACUAUGACAACUUAUAGAGCUAAUUUGGAGUGGGUGAACUAUUUAAGGAUAAAAGGUCUUCCUUUUAAAAUUGCUUUCUUUCUUUGUAGGGGUUGGAUGAAAAGAAUUGUCACUAACUACAAUAUUUAAAGAAUGUGGAUUCAAAUAGUCUCGGAAUUCUAUUUUUGUGUAAAGGAAAAACGGGGGAGAAUGACACAUUUGUUUCUAAUUGCCCCCAUAGCCCAAAAGUUAUUGAGGCAGUAUGCCUCAUGUGCAAGGUUUGAUAUUGAAGGGUUGCAUCCACAUAUGAUUAUCAAAUGGUGGGAACAAAAAGAAGAUAAAGAUUUAACAUAUUAUUAUUAUGUGGGAGCUAUAUAAGAGGAGGAACACAAGAAGGCAUAAAAAUGAAUCUUCAUAUAAUAAGAUAUACUAUCAAUGCGAAUUGAUUUUUCACCAUCUUAUUAAGGUAAAGUUCCAUUAUAUGAGAAAAGUAUCACAUCAUUGGAAAGGUGCAUUUGACAUGGUUAGGGAUACACCCAAUUCAUGAGGAGAUAACUUUCAUUAGUUAGUUUCACAUCCAAUUUUUAUUUUUGAGAAACUUACAAAUACACACAACAUAAGAUAGCAUAUUAUCUAAUAUUUUCUAUCAUUUAAAUUAAUUAUAAAAUCUUCUCCUUUUUUUUAAUUUUUUCUCUCUUAAUCCCCGGAUACAUCCUACUCAUUCUCCAUACACCACACUUAACUCCACCAAAACCACAUCUAAAGUUUCUCAACGUAUCAAUCAUGUCAUUUAACUCCGCAUUACAACUAUAUUAUUCUAGAAAUUAUCAUUAGUUUCAAAUUCUAAAAGAAGGUAGAGAAAUUUCUUCAUCAUCUAUUGUGUUUUCCAUAUAUAAGAAUUUUGGAUUAAAUAAUUGCAAUUUACUAAUAUAAUGUAUCUGCAAGCAAUGAGGUAUUGUUUCUCGUCAAUUUUGAUUCGAAUACAAAUGGUUUUGUUAAAAAUAUAUCCAAACACCGCAAGGAUUCUUUGAUGAUAAAGAUAUUCCAGACUGUGAAAUUAUGAAAGGAUGCUAAUUCUCGUUCGAAACCGGUUGCAAAAUCUUUAUGGGGGAGGGGGAGUCGAGAGUGUCACUACACAACCUUCUUUACCAAAGAUUUAAUUUUUUAACGCAUCUGCUUGAUAUUGAUGUUGAUAAUUAUGUUUUUAAUAUAUAAAUAUGAAAAAAUUCGAGGGUGUUACUAUAUGAUCUUCUCUAUCCAAUAUUCAAAUUUCUAAUGUGUCUGAUUGAUAUUUGAUAUUUACUUAUUAUCAUAUUUUAUGUUUCAACUAUCAAGUACAUUACAAGUUUCUUAUGUUCUAUGUAUCUCGUACAAAUCAUAUUGUUGAUACAUUACUCUAAUUAUUUCAAGAAUAAAAUAGUAUUAAUCCCAUUCAUUAUUAUGUAUCUAAUACAUAAAUAUGAAAAAAUUAAUUAUAUUUAAGUAACCGAUCGAUACGUAUACCCACUGUUAUUUAUCUAAAAGGGUUAUGUAUCGGGCUAUGUAUCUAAAAAGGAUAUAUUGUCUCCAACAAUGAUUUUAUCACUAUUGAACGAUUUGCUUGAACUUUUUAAAAAUAUUGAAUUUGUUUCAAGUUAUGAGGGAUUUAUUAUCUGUGAUUUAAAUGUGAUUGGGUGAAUAAUGGGAGGAUUAAUUAAUUUUACGUUAUUUUCCCUUUUUAUAAAAGCAAAAUCUUAAGUAAUGAAUUUGACAACAAUAAAUUUUUUUAAAAAUAGUUCCUGAAUACUAUGCAAUUAUACCUUAUUUGUAUGUAAUUUAUGUACUUCGUACUUUUUUUUAGCAGUAGCAUUCAUUUCAAGAAAUAAAAGGAAAAUUAUUUUGUUCCAAAACAUACGUUGUAAAUUCAACAUUCAUAUGACUCAUCUUUUGUUUUUGUAAGAGUUCACAAUACUAUUAGGAUUCAUCUACUGUAACAAAAAUGUAUAUCACAACUUUAUAAAAAUUCUACAAAAGUCCCUUAAAAUUAUAAGAUUUUGGAUACAUAUGCUAAAAUGAGGAUACAUACGUGACGAAUUUUGAAUAAUACAUUUCUUAAUGAGAUGAAUGUAUCUGAGAAGGGAGAGAUGUCUUUGAGAGGGGAUAAUUGAUAUCGAACUCCCUAAGAAGUCAAACGUUGAGGCUUCCGUUUCUUAAUGUGUUGUGCAAUGAGAGGGAAGCAUUUACUUAGGCUUUAACUUUUUAAAACAUUAUAUAGGAGAAAUGCCCAAUAAAAAAUAACUAUAUUCAGUUUUUUGGUAAGAUCAUAAACUACUAUAGUCAUGACCAUUUGAUAUCACAAUUAAAAUAACUUUUGAUAGAGAAACUGAAAUAAGUUCCCUAUGGUUUAUCAAGGAACUAAAAAGUUCAUUCUUACAAACCUCUCAUAGUAUGAGCAUCCUACAUAUGAUUAUAGAGCAUAUUUUUAUCUCACUUAGUAUGAUUGUUCCAAAAAACACUAUCACGUAGAUCAUUUAAAUACACUAUGCAGUAGACCAUGCGCUUGAGUGACAAUAGAAAGGUUUUACAAAAAAAUAUGUGAAAACAGAGUUAGAACACUAUGAAUGAAGAAGUUGCUUACUUGAUCUAUUGCUUGUCUUCUCUCGGUCUCAUCACAACGUAGUAACUUAAGACAGUCAGGUUGCAAUGUCUCAUUUCUUUAUCUACCAAAAAGCACAAAAAGAGACCUGAAUGCUUAAAUGGCACAACCCUCUAGCAAAUAUUAUUUAAACAUAUCCAAAUAACACUCCAAAAAUGUAAGAUACUUGUCGAUUUUAUAAAUUAACUAUGGUUUGCACACUACUACAAAAACAACAUUAAGGGACACUAGUUUCGAGGCAAUGAAUAAAUUGCCGCUAAAUGCUCCCUACAUUUUAGUAUUAUCGGCAUUUGGGCAUUUGCCAGGACAAAAAAUAUAAAUACUACCUAUUAAAAUUUAAAUCUACUAUAUAAUUUUUAAUUAAUAUAUAUUAUUCCAAACGUCUAUUUCCGGUAAUAUCCCCUUACCAACAAAUUAACCCAUACAAAUUAGGUGAAACCUCUCUUCCUCAUCCUCCAAAUUCACCCAUACGAUUUAGGGCAAACCUCUCUUCCUCAUCGGACAUGGAGCGAACUCGUCUCUCUCGUCCUUACCAGGUAAUCUAUGUACGGUCCUUGUCUCAAUUCCUACUCUCUCACUAGGUAUUCUUUUUUUAUUUAUUUGAAAAUUCAACUCUCUUCUGUUUCGUUUCCCCUUAUUUAAUUGAAAUAGGUUCAUGCAAUCUCUGAUCGCUUUUUUCAUCAAUCGAUUUGGUUAAUCACAUAUGUAUGACGAUGUGUAAUGAUACAUGCGUUAUUGAUUUCUUAUUGCUCCAGUUUUUUUGGGAAAAAUUCUUUUUUCCAUCAUUUAAAAAGGACAAUUUUGAGUAUUUGUAAUAUUAUGCGUUGCUAUAGAGAUGAUUUCCUAUAGACCCUUGGCUCAAAAGAGAUGUUUUUGAAACUGAACUGCUAGAAGAAUAUGACAGCAAAAGAGCAAGAGAUGAAGGAGGGAAGCAACAACGAAUAAUAUAUAUUAAAAAUAAGAGAACACACAACUACUUCAUAAUACUAGAUAAGUAAGGUAUAAAGAUUUUUAUAUAUAUAUAUAUAUAUAUAUAUAUGUUGUCAUUCUCCUAAAUUAGCAAAAGAGAAUCUCAAGACCUAUUGAGAAUCCUCAAUUAGAAUCUAAAAAUAUGAGUAUUAGAUAACUUUAUGCUCAAGAUUACAGACUAAGAUGGGAAAGAGGCAAUCGAGAAAACUUGCCCAAUGAAUAAAUAUUGAAUACUCAUAUCUCAUAAGUAGGUUGUCAGGUCAUUUGAGAAUCCUUAUUCUAGUAUCACCAGAUCCAGUACAAACCAAGUGCUAAGUAUGAUAGCUUGAAUGAAACCUCUCAAGUAGAUAAUUUUCAGAAAUUGAAGGCACCACAUUCCCAUAGACUUUUUGAACAAAAGCAAGUCAUUUCUUGUAUUUUUGGAUUAAAAAAAGGUAGAUGCAUCACUGACUUUUAUAUGAAGAACACAACAUACGCAUACCUGAAAAAUUCAAAUUAGUUGAAAAUUGAGAAAUAGUAUUUUAUUCACAAUAUUCUGCUAUCACUUGUUUUUCCAUCCAUCAAGAUCUGACAUUGGAUUACAUUGUUUUUUGAAGUUAUAGUAUCAUUAAAAAAGCGUCAAAACAUGUUAUUACUUCAAUCGGUAUUCGUACUUUAAGUUUCGUUGUGAUUCUCUGUGGUAUUAGCGUAAGAGAGGUUAAUAUUAAAGUAAGCUUUAUUUUCAAGAAUCAUUGUACAUUCCAAAUAUAUUUAAAAGAUUAUACAUCGACAUUUUUAUAAUUGAUUCACUUGACUAUUUAAAAAGCUCAUAAACACUUUAAUUGUUUACAUGUUACAUUCAACAUCAAAAGAAUCAAAAAAUUUUAGAUUACAUCUCUGAGAAACAUAUUAUUAAAUACAUUAGGUGCAUUAUCCACCUCAAAUUAGUUUUUAAUUCACACAAAAUGCAUCAAAAAUGCAUACUGCAUGUCUAAAACAGGAACAACUGCUAAUAGGCUAUAAAAUAUCUAGUAGACAUAUUCUUAUCAAAGAAUCCCAGGAAAAUUACCCUCAUAAGAGGAAGAGGUGCACAGAAGACAUGGAAUGAUUUCUUCUAGAAAUUAUAGAGAAAUUUAUCAGUUUCUGGAAUGAUUAAAAGAUGGAGUAAACUCAAAAUUACUAUUAAGUACGUUUUGUUUUUAGGUCUGAAUCUGAAUUAUUAAGGCUCAGCCCAUUAAGUUCAUUUGUUUUAUUUUUUUAAAAAACUCUUAAUGGGUCUGAAGAUGAUUAAAUGAACCAGAUCUGUAGGAGACUCUUGACAACAUUCAAGCUCAUUUAAUAAGUUAUCAAUUAAUAAAUCAUCGUUUCUCUGCUUUAAGCGUGCCUUUUUAUUUCAUAACUAAAAAUUUUCUUGCUCUCUUUUCUCAAUCAAACACCAUUUUUUCCCUCUUGAACUGGUAAGUUUUUUUAAAUUCGUCAAGUUUUUUUAUAUUAAUAAUUUUCUUGUAUUGAUUCUGUCUAGAACACUAAUGGUAUAUUGACAUUUAUCAAUGUUUUUGAAUGAAAAAAAUUGUACUUCCAAAUCAUGAUUAUUAAAAAAAAAAUUUAAUCAAAAGUGAUAUAUUUUGUUGAACAAAAAAUAUAUCACUUUUGAUUAAAAAAAAGUUUUAAUAAUCAUGAUUUGGAAGUACAUUUUUUUUCAUUCAAAAACUUUGAUAAAUGUUAAUAUACCAAUAGUGUUCUAGACACAGCCAAUACAAGAAAAUUAUUAAUAUAAAAAAAAACUUGAUGAAUUUAUGAAAACUUACCAGUUCAAGAGGGGGGAAAUGGUGUUUGAUUGAGAAAACAGAGCAAGAAAGUUUUUAGUUAUGAGAUAAAAAGGCACGCUUAAAUUAGAGAAACGGUGAUUUAUUAUUUAAUAACUUAUUAAAUGAGUUUGAGUGUUGUCAAGAGUCUCCUACAGAUCUGGUUCAUUUAGACCUCUUCAAACCCAUUAAUAGUUUUUUUUAAAAAUAAAACAAAUCAACUUAAUGGGCUGAAUCUUAAUAACUCAGAUUCUAACCUAAAAACCAAACGUACUUAAUAGAAUGAAUUUGAAUGAUUAAGAUUCAGACCUCCCUUAAGUGCAAACAAAUGAGGCCUAAGUCAACCAUCUUCAUUAAGCCAUUUAAGAUACAAUCAAAGUAUUAUAGGACUUCACAUAAUAGUAGUGGGAAAGACCUAGGGAACCCAUUCUAGUAUCUUAAAAGCCUACUUGUGCCAUGUGUAGAUAGCGUCUCAUUCCACUACCUACACGUUGUGGAACCUAUCCAAUAACUAGAGUUUACAUCAAACAUGAUGAGAAUAGGCACUAACUGACAUAGAUACUAGCUAGGUAUAGUUUCUGAAGUUACCCUACUCUGAAUGGGGUGUUCUACUUGCCAAGGGUAGAACUAAGACACAUCCCAUGUUGGCAUAUGGUUAAGGAAUAUCAAGGUUUUGUUUGUACUAUAGUAUCAUCUUAAGUAGAUGUACUAGCACAAGAAUAUUCACUCGGUGCUUUGCCUUUAUUCUCAUAGAGUAAUAAUUCACUAAGUGUAUUAGAGUAGUACUAUUACUAUGACGUACCAACUCUUUACACUUUUUUUUCCAAGGAUGGGUCCACUAGGGCUGCCUACCAAGGACUAUUGGGAUAGCUCUUAUGACUUCGUUAGAGAUUGAUUUAUGUAAUUCCAGCCAACCUAUACCUAAGUCAUCAUUCCACUCAAGAAGGAUAUCAUUACGGUCUUUUACUUUAAGGCUUCUAUUAACCUUCUUUUCUAUAUUCAAGGUUCUAUGCUCUUGACCUUCUUUUCUUAUUCAAGGUCCUAUUUGUUAAUCCUUUAGAAGAGAACCAUCUUAGGUCUACCUAUCCUAGACUUUCAUUCAUCAUUCAUUCAUUCAUAUACAUGACAAAGAGGCCUAAUCCAAGUAAGUCAAGAGAUCACAUUAACAUAACUUUCAUAUAUCAAGUAGAGGGACCUAAGUCUAUCAAUCAAGAAACAACAUCAUCAUAUCACGUAUUCAAUAACAUUGAAGUACCAUGUAGGGACAAUUAUUCUACCAUAAAAGAUGCAAUAUUAUUACAUUUCUUAGUCUUUCAUCAUCAUAUAUCAUCAAUUGGUGAAUCAUCAUAACAUUAACUCUCAUAAAAUAUCAUAUAGCCAUUACAAGAGUAGUUCACUUAAUAACUUCACUCUAUAUAAGAUCACACAUAUAUAAUAUCAUCCUUCACUUUACAUAUUCAUAUAAGCCAUAACAUCUUGUACAUGAUCUCAUUACUUCACAUAAUAAUGUCGACAAGGCCAUGUUCAUAUCAAUUAUAACACAUAGAAACCGCCAUCAUAAGUGAACCAUACCAAUCAAUACAAUUCAAUAUCAAUUCUAUACUAAAUAGAGGAAUUAGGUCAACUCAUUACCUCCCAAUCAUCAUCAUCACCAUUCCUUAGACUUUUCAACCAUUCACUUUACAAAGUCUCUUACCAAUAGUCAUGUACACAAUACUAAGCCAACAACCAAUCCAUAUCAAUGAUCCAACAACAUAAAAUAUGAAUGUCAUCAUUAUAAGGCAGGUUAUAAACAAUUCUAUCAUGAUUUUUACAUAAUUCAGUAGCCCAAUACAAUCUACACAUUAAUUCACUUAGAUCAAGCCAUGAUAAAAUCACCUACUUUAGAGUCAAUAUUACGAAUUUAAGGAAUACAUUGGUUCAUCGAUUUUUUCAUCUUAAAACAUUCAAUUAACAUCAAUUACUUCACAAAACAUUGAUUUAAACUUUUUCAUGCAAGAACACAUACCUAGAAUAAAAAAAGGAAUUUCUAUAUUUUUGAACAUUUUUGGAAAGCCUUUGAAAUUGUCUCCUUGAAUGGAAGAAAAGUCAAGGAUGAAAUCACCAAACAUGAAUUUAAGAAAUCCCACGAAAUUAUGCUUGAGACCUAGGUGAGGAUUUUAUUAGAGAGAGAAUUUUAGAGAGAAUGGAGAGCUUAUAAUUUUUGGAUUCUAAUUGAGGGUUGGGUUUUUGAUUAGGGUAAUGGAUGUAUAAUAAUCUAAAAUCAGUAUAUAAUUCACCCCCAAAAUACUCAAAAUACCCCUACAUUAAAUGGACCCUUUUAGACAAGUCAAACUUAACUUAAAAUUUUGGAAUUAUCACCGGGGAACAAGUCCGCGUCGCAGAGUUGUUCCCUCAAGAUUUUUCAAAAUAAUUUUUGGCACAGUAGAGUCUGUGACAUGGACCAAAAAAAUUUCCCUUGGUGAAUCAUGUCCGCAACGCGGACUUGUUUAUUCUAUGCACAAUUUGCUGCUGCCUUGGGCAGCUUGUUUGCCCAAGGUUGGAUCCUCCUCAAGAACCGCUAGGGCGGUCCUUGGGGAACCAUAACCGGAAAUUUUAGACCCUAAAUAUUGUCAUAUAGGUUUUAGGGUCAUCCCCAAUUUUUUGAGACUCCAAACAACACAUAAAAACACAUACAACAUAUAAGGACACACUAGCACAUGCUCAAGACUAAUUUCCGGACGUCUUGGUUUUCCUUAAACCUUUUAAAUUUCAAACUCCACAAACUGACUUAGUAUUCAUUAUCUUAACAUUAUAGUUUUCCUUUUUCUUAUUUCAAUUGUAUAAAUCUCAUUGUUAUUGAAUAUGUGACGACUGGGGCUAUACCCUAGGAGUGACAGAACACACUUGACACUGAAGAAGUCUCAUACAAGCCCUUAACCAUCAUUAGAUAAGACAUAAAAUUAAUGCGGAAAACUAAAAAUGUUUACUAUAAAAGUACAACUUUCUUUAUAAAUGAAAAAUAGGAAUCUAGACUUGUCUCAUUACACCAUCUAAAAAUAAAAGCACGAAAAUUAGGACUCACCCUUACAUCAAUAAUAAGUCUUAUCAUAAGUAAAUACAAUAUAGUACUUAACAAGGAAAGUAAACUAGAACUAGAAUUAAUAAAAUGCCAUAGUCAGAAUUGAGGACUCACCAAAACUUGGAGGUAGCAAGCUAAGUUUUCUUCAAGAAUGGACUAAGAUCACCUCAACGGCCUGGACAUACAUUCAUAGGAGAUGUAGAAGAGAAUGAGUUAGUACAAUAGCACUUAGUAUGGAAACAUGCAUAAAAAUACUUUAUUAUGCUAAAAAUAAAUUUUAGUGAAAAUAACACAUUUAUUCAGUUGAAAAUUCAUUUAUGCAAUAAGGACAUAAGACAAGUCGUAAUAGCAUUCUCAUACGAUUUUUCACAACAUAGUAGAACCAUCACCUUAGCAACCCUAAAAGCAUACUUGUGCAAUGCAUAGUUGGAAUCCCAUAAUACCAACUAUACUAAGUAUCCAUUCAGAAUCACCUUAGUUACACAUAUCAACAUUAGAUCCCAUCAUAAUCCACAAUCAUACAUAAGUGAAUAACCAUGUUCAUCACAUAUACAUAAGGAGAGUCAUAUCCUAACAACAACCCAAUCAGCAUAUAUCAUACCUUCAUGUCUUACCAUAGCAUCAUGGACCCACCCAUAUUCUCUGUCAAAGAAUACUUCUGCACUGAAAAGAGUGAAGUUACAUACACCCACUCCUACAAAGUAGACUUAUCAAGAAAUCACAAGUUUGGUUCAAGUCAUAUUCAUUAUCUUAUUAUAGAGGGAGAAUUGCCUUAACCGACAUAGACCAUGAGAGCUACAUGGAAUCCAAUGACAUAUAGCCACACACCAAUAGAAGGUGUUCUACUUGCCUAAGGUAGAACUAAACAUAUAUAUCUAUAAUGUAGAUCCACUAGCUAAGACCUAUGCGGGUACAUAGUUAUGGGAUAGGAAGAUUGCUUGUAGAAACUCGGCUAAUUCAACUAGCGGGAGAGUUUCCAUCUCGUUACAUCAUAUGUAGAAGACCUGCCUAAACUAGUGGGAAGGUCUCUACCUCAUUUAUUAUUAUAUUGCGCGAUGCUAAGCAUUAUUCUCUAACUUAUACAUAGUUAAGGUGAAUUGUAAUUUCGUAUGUGAAUGAGUACAUUACCCUUCAUUUAACCCAACACAUACAUAGCUCAUGAUUCAACAUGGUGAGAACUACCUUUCUCCUUAAAAUCAUCAUAUAAUCAUCAAAGACAAUUAAUACAUAGUCAUGUCUAAUAGUAAAGGAAACUAGUCUUUCAACAAUAACAUAUCUCACUCCUUAGUCAUUGGAUUUUAAUAUUUCAAGUGGAACAUAACUUCAUACAUAUAUACAAAAAUGUAAGCACCUCCACCUUUCAAGAAGAUCAAACCAUUCAUAUGUCAUAAUCUUGCACAUAAGAUUACCUUCAUGCAUUGCCUUCAAGGCCAUAAUUAAAGAUUAAACAUUUACAAUUUACCCUUGAAGGGUCAUAGAUCAUAUCAUGAAAUAACACUUAGAAUUACUACUGUAAGCUUAUAAACAAGAUAAAUUACUAAAUCCAUAUACAUAUUAUCCCACAGACAUAUAAUUAAUAAAGAAACACAUCAUACUUUUUAUAAAGUUGGGGGCACGGGGAAAACACAUGGGUUCAAGAGAAAUUUAGAAACAAAACCCCUAAUCAAUGUAAAUUUCGUUAUAAUAUAGAAUGGACAACAUAAAUAAAAUGUUUUUGAGAACAACCUAAGGUUAGAAUCAAAACACUAAUUAUGAACAAAUUCUCAUUUUCAAAAAUAGUAUAGGAAGGGCUUCAUGGGGAAAGAAAUCCCAUGAAUGAAAGUUCUCAAACCUUAUUUGAAGCUUUACCACAAAAUUGAGAUGCAAAUCUUGGAGCUUGAACCCUUUCCUUGAAGCUUUUGGUGUUUUUCAAUGGAGGAAAUUUGUAGAGAGAAAUAUUUGAGAGGAUUGGGUUUGGGAGAAUAUUUUUGGUCUUUGAGUUUGAGUCUUGUAAAUGGAUGAAAAAGACUUAAAACCCUAUAUAAAUUUUACCCUCUAACAUACCCAAAACACCCCAAAUUAAUUGGACUUAAAAGUAAAAGACUAAACUAACCUUCAAUAAAAGAACUUGUCCAGGUUUACGAGCCACAUGGAGCACCUCGACCCGUGGUGCUUGUUUUGAGGAUUGAGGCGAUAGCCUCUUCAAGCUUCCAAUUCCUACAAAAACUAAGUCAUGUUCACGAUCCCCCAUUCCCCUCAUCAAUUUCAGCACAGCCCAUUAUGGUUCCAGGUGCUUUGGGCAAUACCUCCCCUAAAUUCACCAUUUCCUAUUAAAAACAUAAUGGAGUCUCAUGCCCCACCUCACAAGUCGUGGAGAUAACCACGACCUGUGGUCCCCUCGUGAGGGUCAGGGCAGUGUCUAGGACACUUGGGGCUCCUCUCUCUUGGCCAAGGCAACUCCAUGAAGCCUUUCACUGACCGUGGUCUUGACCAUGAUCGGUGGUGGUGGCCGUGGAGCCUUGAGUUAGUAGCUCCAAGUUUGGGGCAGCCUUGACUUUUGUCCUUUGCUUGCUCCUUUUGCUUGGCACUUCUCUAUUAGGCCUUGACUCCUAAACCCCCUAAAAUGAUUAGAUUGUUUACAAACUUAGGGUCAUUUUUUUAAUUAAAUUUAUCCUUACGUUCAGGCUCUAGUUCAACCUAACAUUUUCCUGAGUGUUACAAAAUACGGGGGGGGGGGGGGAGAAUUUUGUUUUGAGGUGGUGCAUUCAAGAUUAGAUGUUCUAGGUUUCAAGCUUAAUGUUCCGUUUCACACACACACACAAUAUAUAUAUAUAUAUAUAUAUAUAUAUAUAUAUAUAUAUAUAAAGAGAGAGAGAGAGAGAGAGAGAUUAGGGCUAGACACUUUGGGUUUUUCUUGAUUCUUGACUUUUAUUUUGGUAAAUUGUUUUUGAAUGUUUGACAGUACUUACUCAACAAAAUAAUCAAAGAGCUUCCUUUCGCUGGAGCCCCUGCAAUCCUUACUUAUGGUGGAAAUAAGUGGAUUUUGUUUCAUGUUAGAGUUAAAACUAAAUACAAUUUUAGUAGUGGAUAGAAAAUUUUUGCGGAUGAUAACAAUCUAAAAAGGGGGAUGGACUUUUGUUUGAACUCUCAGAGUGAAACUCUGACAAAAUCGAAUUAGAAAUUCAUAGUAUAAGAGAAGAUUUUCCAGCUGAAUUGGUUCCUGAAGAUGUGGAGGGUAUAAUUACUGAUAACCCAAUAAUAAUUCAUUAAAACCUUUAUCAUCUUUAGUAGAAAUUUCAAUUCAGUAAAAACAACUUUAUCAAUUUCAUUAGUUUCAAUUUCAAAAAAUAAAAACUUUAUCAAUUCUAAUACUUUCAUGUCGUAUGUAUGCCUCAUUUAUCAAUACUACUUUUUUGGGUUAUGUAGUUUAAUAAUGUUGAUAUUAUUUAUAAAAAUAUGUAUUAUGUUAUUAUGCAAUACAUGUACAACACAUGUGACAUAGUAAUAUAUUAAAUGUUGAUGUUCAAUGCAAUUAAUUUUGAAAUUUAUAUUUUACAAAAAAUUGCGAAUCUAAAAUUUCUAUUUUAUGUUAACUGAUUCAAACUUCAAAUUUUAAGAAAGAUUUCAUCUAAAACUGAAUGAUUAUGCCUAAGCAAGUGCCCAUGAUAAAAAAUGACAUCCUCACUAUAGGCCGAUGUGAAUUUAUGCCUAUAUGUUUUAUCACAUGGUAGAUAUUGAAUCAAAUCGUCAUUUAAUUUCUUAAAUAUCGUCACAUGCGACUUGUUUUUGCUUGUCUUUAACAGGUAGAAAGUUUAUCCAUGUAAAUAUUGAAAAUUCAAUUUAAUAAAAUAAAAAAAUUGUGAAGUUCAUAAUUUAUGGCAAUAUAAGAGAGAAGUGAAGAAGAAGUAGCUAAUUAUAUAUUUUUAAAAUGUAAUUUGAUGAUAAAGAAUACGGUUAGUUUGUAAAUAUUUUUAAAAUGGAAAAUAAUGGGGGGGGGGGGAAUUAAAAUUUGAUCAAUUGAGCCUUUUGGAGUGUUAUCCCAACGGACGGACAAUCUGAAAAUCAAAUUCUUAUAAAAAACAUUGACAGUUAAAUUAAUUUGUCUAUUUAAUUAUAAGUCAUAACAUAUUGUAACACUAUGAGAUUGUAUUGGUGCAGUCCAUUGAUAGUCUAACUCAAUCCAUGUGGAUCCCUAGUAAGCUAUGCUCUAUAUGUAUCACGUGCAUUCACUUUAGUGGAUUUGACAUAGGUGUCUAGUCCUUCUAGAAAGCCUUUAAAAUACGACAUAGACGUCUAUUCCGUCUAGGAAGAAAUUAAAAUACGUUACGUAAAUGAAAAAAUUAAUACUCCAAUUAUUUUACUAAAUAUAUUUGUUUACCGUCUAAUCUCAAGUUGUAUGAUUCUAGCCUUUUUUUCUAUAAAGCAAGUUUUUCAAAAAUUUCAAACACUUGUAUAAAAUCUUCACGAAUUAUACACAUUUUAUUUACACCUUGAUGAGAUACUUAAUCCGCUCUCCUUGAAUUUGGUGAUACUUAUGAAAUAAAAAAUUUGUCAUUGUUCAAAAAUCUCAUUAUUUAAAAAUUCUUUAUUAAGAAAAUCUCUCGCACACCAACAACCACAAACAAUUUUUAUCAACUAUUUAUUUAAAAUAAAAAACUAAAAAAAUGGGCGAACACAAGUGUGAUUGCUUAUUUUAUUUUUAAAAGUAAAAAACAAAACUUCACAAAACUGUGCACACUUGAUUAUUAUUAUUGUCAUUUUUACCUUGAUGAAUUAUUUAAGUAUCUAUUUUUAGAUUUGGAAUUUAUUAUUCAAAAAAAAAAUUAUUUUAGAAGCUAAUAAGAUCAUCAUUUUUGUUAAUUAGAAAAACCCAACAUAUUUUUGUGUUAAAAGAUUUCAAAACCAAAUAAGGAAACCCCAUGUUUGUAGUGUUCAUAAGUCUGAAAGCAAAAAAAAAACAAGACAUAUUAUUUUUGUUAAAAGAUCCAAAAACAAACAAACAGCCAUGUUAUUUGUGUUAAAAACUUUAGAAGCAGAGAAAGAGGUAACAUUAUUUGUGUUGAAAACUCUAGAAACAGACAAAGAGACCCUAUUCGAUGUAACAAGUGUUAGACUCUAGAAGAAAAUAAAGAGAACUGGUAUUAUUUGUGUUAAAAACUCCGGAAUCAAGAAAAAAGCCACAUUUUUUGCGUUAAGACUUCUGAAGUAUUAAAAAAAUGGGAUAAUGCACAAGUACCCCCUCAACCUAUGUCCGAAAUCCCAGAGACACACUUAUACUAUACUAAUGUCCUAUUACCCCCUGAACUUAUUUUAUAAGAAAUUUUCUACCACUUUUAGCCUACGUGGCAUUGGUUUGGGAAAAAAAGUCAACCAUCGUUGGGCCACAAAUAGUGCUACGUGUCCCUGAGAUUUUGGGCAUAUUAAGGGGUACUUGGGCAUUAUCCCUAAAAAAAUUGAUAGCAGACAAAGAGACCCUAGCUUAUUAUUGUUCAAAACUCUAGAAGAAGACAAAGAAAUCAGUGGUAUAUGUGUUAAAACUCUAACAACAUUUAAAAAGACACGUUAUUUGUGUUCAGAACAUCGAUUCAAACAGAAACCCCACGUUAUUCGUGCUUAAAAAAUUGAAAGUAAAUAAAGAGACCCUUUAUUUUUAGGCAAAUUUCGUGUUUUAUUAAAAAAUCUAAAGCACAUUACACAUAAUUACACUUGCUCGAGCAUGGCCCAACCCACAGUUAGCCCAACAUUUAAAAACAAAACAACCGAAAAAAACAACAAAGAAGCAUGAUAGACCCACUCAGUAAGCCUAUAAAUCUAACUAAGGCAGGGUUUCUUAAUUAAGGACUCCUCGUUUCCCCUCACUACCUUCUCUGGUUUCCUAAUUAAUAGACCUCAUAUUAUUUUUAUUAUGAAUUUCAAAAGUUGACAAAGAAAUAAUUACUUUUGCUAGGCUCAAAAGGUCUUCAUGUAAAAUGAUUUGUAGUUCUAUAAGCCAAGUAUUAAUGUGGCCAUCUUUGUUUGUAACUAUUUAUUGGUAUAUUAUAUAUAUUAGUAAAUAGUAGUAUAUUUUUUUAAAAAAAAAACUUUGAUUUAUUUUUAAAACAUUAGAACCCUAUGCAUACUCCUAAAAGCCCCAAACUAUCCCUCUUUGGCAGUUCAUAGAUUUUAGGGUCUUCUCUAUAAACUGAAUCAAAUUGGAAAAAAACUUUGUUUUAUAAAGGGUAUUUGUGUAUGCAUUCAUCCUCAUAGGUUGAGACAAAAUUCGAUAAUUUUGACCUCAACAAACAAGUAAACAUACAGAAAUUCAAAUUCAAAUUUUAAGAAAGAUUUGCACCUUAGUGUCUAUUCCUAUGCAAUAAAAAAAUGAUAUCGUCAAUAUAUAUUUUAAUGCAAAUAUUUGGUUAUAUGUUUCACCAUAAUUAAAGUAGACACUAAAUCAUAUCUUCAGUAAGCAGCUUACAAUAUCAUCACACUAGACUUAUUUUUCCUCACGAGGAAGAGGAGGAAUAUUCACGUAAAAGUUGAAAUUUUAACAUAAUAAAACCUAAAAUUACCACAGUUAAUGAUUGAUAGCAAUUUAACACAGAAUUGGGAAGAAAUGAAGAAGUGGGAGGUUAUUUGUAGAUAUCUAAAAGUUAAUUGGAUUAUUAGGGAGGGAUUAGGGUUCGUUUCUAAUUAAAAAGGGAAAAUAAAGUCCUCAGUUUAAAAACGUUAUUGAUUUAUCCAUUUGGAAAAUUGGCCAUCGACCGAAAAAUAGAAAAUUGAAUUUACAAAAAAAAAUUAUCAGUUAGUUGAAUCUAUUCAGGUAUUAAUUAUAACUUGAGGUGACUGUAAUACCUCAAAUAUUGAUAGGCUCAUACUCGAAUAAUUCUAUAACACCUCGCAAUUCUACUCUUAAAAUUAUGAUCGUUUGUGUAGCACUUCGAACACUGAGGAAGGCUAAAGAGGAUUAACGGAAAACUCAAGGAACGUAAAAUGGUCCAUGGACCCUUCAUGUAUCACUAUACGGACCGUUUAGGGGACCACAACUCGUUUAGGGCAGUGUGACCAGUCGUCAAAAGAUGCCAAGGAAGGGGUCACCUGGACGGGACCCUAGACGGCUCGUGGUGGCUUAUACGGUCCAUUUGGGGGUCCAUACAAUUCAUCCAUCAAUUUUAAAGUUUUGGGUCAACAUCAAACGAUCAUAUCUCUCAUAAUAUAAUGAAUUAGGUGGCCCAUGACCUAAAUAUUACAGGUCUUUGAGUCUUUUCAAUUCCAUCAAAUUUUCCUCAUGUUGAGUUUGUAGUAACAAGUUAUGUGUCUUUUAAAGAAGCAUUGUGGGCCAAGUAAAGUUUUAUGUCCGUCAAUACGGCCUAUGAAAUUUCAUGGACCGUGAUGCCUUAAGAGUCUGUGAAACCUCUCUUUUAAGGUAUCUUGACAAAUUUAAAAGUUGGGGUCAUUUUGGUCAUUCCUCUAUACAUUUGGUAGAUAACUACGUCAUUUUAACCCCUAUUCUAAGCCUAAACCACGAUGUUUUACACCUAAUUAAGGGCUUAAAAAGUGUUAAUCAAUUACUUUACGUUAAUUAACACUUCAAGAUAUUAAAACAAGGUUCGAAGAGAAGAAAAACUAAGGUUGAAGUUUUCUUCGAGUUCCAUAGUUUUAGACUAGUUCUUCUACAUUCCAUACAUCUACUUUCAAAUUAAUAAAAGGGUAAUUUGGGAUUCUAUCCUUAGAUUUUAGUUUCUUGAGAUUAGUUGAUUUUGAGUUCUUGAGUUCUCGAUUCUUUUGGAAAUUUUAUUUCUAAUUAUUAAAUUCCUAUAUAUUAUGCAUUGUGAUUCUUGAGGUUGUUGGAUCAUGUCUAUAUUUCAGAAUGAACUCUAUGAAUUCAAUAUUCUUGAGAUGAAUAGAAUCAUCAGUUAUGAGUUCUUGAAAUGUGAGUAUUGAAUUUUCUAUAUUGUUAUUGAGAUCCUUGUGUUGAUUCAUUCAUGCGUAUAAUUUCAGCAUGAACCUUAUUCAUGUGUAUUCAUUGAAUUGUUAUUGAGAAUCUUUUAAACAAAAUAUUACAGUUUUAAACUGAAUUUUGAGGAAGUUAAGAGGAGUUAGUAUUAAAGAAGUAAGUACUUCCCAUAUGUUUUUUACAUAAAAAAAAGUGAAGAACAAUUUUUUAAAAAAUUUAAAAGAGGUUUUAUAAAAAUUAAGUACAAAGAAAUUACCUCUUAAAGGGGUUUAUUUUUACAGGAUUUCCAAUCCUAGCAAGAAAGGGAGGGAAACGGAUACUCAAUUUAAAGUGAGUAAACAGUAUUCCAUACUCGAUAUCAUAGAUACAUAUAGAAUUCUGUGGAAAGUUGUAUUCGAUGAAAUUCGUAUGUACGGCUUGGAGGGAGAUAUUUCAUAUCAUUCGCGAUCCACCUUGCAAUAUGAGGUAAAAACGUGUGUUCCUCUAAUCUAUUCGACUACCCGUAAUACUCAAAGUAGAUGAAAAGCAAAGCCCAUAUCCUUAUCGAUGAGUUACUCUUAGCAAAAGUCUCUAGAAAGUCAUAAGACUAUAGAGUAUCUUGAGAUAAACCUGUGAGUGAGAUUAUGUUUAUAUUAGAAAGAAUGCACUCUUAUUCAUAUGAAUUGUGGGUACAAGCUAAAAAUGAGAUCUACUUCAAACCUCCAUUUUGUAAACCUUGUUUCGAUUGAGAUCCUUAUGACGAAGUGUGUUUUAGAGCCUGGGUAGUAUUUUCACUCGAAAGAUAGUAUUCUUUAUAAUGUUAUAAGUCAUAGUAGUAAAAGUGUCCAGAGUUAAAAGAAUGCAAGCAUAGGUAUAGUAGUGUAAGAAAGAAAGAUUGUGAGGCAAAUUAUUUUGUUGCAGUCAUGCACCCAAUAGUUAUUACUAAGGGAGUUUCCCUUAUGGAUAUACUAAGAAUUGAUUAGUUUGUAUAAAUUUCAUGAUAGAAGGUAUAGUAAUCGUUACAAGUCAGGAUGAGUUAAAGUAUACUUUAACUAGAAGGGAAUUUAUGAUGAUGCAACAUUGUGUUGGUUAAGACAAAAUAUAUGUGUUGAAUAAAAUAGUAGAGUAGCCAUCAGGUGAUAGAUAUAAGUUAGGCUUACGAAUUUUAAGGGAGAGCCUCAUGAUAUUUAGAUUGUAAGAACUAAUUAGGCAAUGAUAUAUAGUGAACUAAUUAGAUAAUGAUGAUUUUAAAGGAGAUCCCUAUGAUAUUCACGAACUACGCUAAUUUGAUUCACACUUUUAUUACGUACUUAAGCAACUCUCUUCGAAUUAGGUUAUACUUAUUAUAAAAAAGAAGAAGUUGUUUUCCUUUUUCAAAAAUCAUAAUUUUAAAAUUCUUUAUUCAAAAAAGAAAUUCCUUCCCCACCCCACCCAACCACAAAACAAACAUAGAAGAGAAGAAUUCUUAAUUAUAUAUUAAAUCAAUAACAAAAAAAAGAGAAGAAAAAUAAUUAUGGUUGCCUCUUUUACUUUUUCAAAAAGAAUGUACUUCACGGACCAUGCGCACUUGAUUUUACUUUUAUGAGAUCUUCAGUUACUUUUUUUGGAUUUGGUAUGUCUUAUAAAAAGGUUUUAUUUCAGAAUCUAAAAUAUUGGAUUGUUGAGUAACAAACAUGUACUUACAAGGGCAACACUGUUGGAAGACUAUUUGAACCUGUUAUUUGAAUCGACCCUUUUAUAUCAUGAUCGCAUUGGUCAUACCUUAUUAGAAUAUCAAAAUCAGAUCCUCUAUUUGAUAAUGAAGAAGAAACUAUACGUCAACAAUUGUAUGGAUAUCUUUUCUAAUAUUACCACCAAAUUUCUUUAGAAGAGAGAACCUUUUGGGAGCAGUUAUGGGUAAGUCGCUUCAUGUAGACAUGGCCACAACGAAUCAAAUAAGACCAAGUUAUUCAAGAGUGAAGGUAGAAGUGGAUUCAUAAGGGAAAUUUUACAAAUCCAUAUACAUUGGCAUGAAGAAGAGGAGUGAAGAAAUUUUGAAAAAAUGAAUUCGGAUAAAAUGUGAUUAUGUUCUAAAAUAUUGCAAUACAUGCAAAUAAUAAGGAACAGUUCUAUUGUUAUGAAUCAUCCCUAUCCAAAUAACUAUACGAACAAGUAUAUAAAGGGAUAGAUAUUGGGACAAGUAGGCCCAAUACAAGCAACAAUGUCAGGCCUUCACAAAGAUAAUUUGGGAUCUACAAUGAGGGUAUUGUUAAAUAGAACAUGGCAUCAUUGUGAGAGGAAAUCCUGAAUUAUGGGAAAGACAGUUUUCACGUUUCUCAUCCCCAAUUCUGAGUCUAAGCUUGUCAUCUCCUUUCUGCCGUAGAUCAUUUCCCUAGUUCUCACGUUAAGUAUCUCUAUGACUAUGUUUGGGUUUUUGUUGUAUUCAUUGUUUCAUUUACUUUGUGGAUUUGCAAUUGAACUCUAGUCUUGUUAAUUAUAUUGAGAAGUUGGUUACUGUUACAUUGGUCUUGACUUCGUUACAACUAUGCAAAACAUUAUGAACUAUACCAAAAGAAGGAGACUAUUGACAAAUUAGUGAAAAAUAGCAAUGAGGAGGAAAGAAAAUCUAGGAAGGUAGGUAACAACAAAGAGAAAGCUAAUAUGUUGUAUCCUCUUAAACUAUUUUGUAUGUAUAUUCUUUCUUAUGUCCCCCCUUUCCUCUAUUUUCUUUUUCUACCUUCGUGGACUUUUCUGGUAACCCUCUUUAGCCUUUCUCAAUGUUUAAAGUGCUACACGAACUAUUAUAAUUUUAAGAGUAGAAUUGCAAGGUGUUAUAGAAUUAUUGGAGUACGAGCUUAGAAAUUUUUGAGGUAUUACAGUCACAUCAAGUUAUAAUUGAUACCUGAAUUGAUUCCACUAGCGGUCAUUUUUGCAAAAAAAAAAUCAAUUUUUUUGUUUUUUUGGUCGAUGGCAGAUUUUCCAAAAGGAUAAAUCGAUGAUGUUUUAAAUUUAGGCCUUUAUUUUCCCAUUUAAUUAGAAACUAACCCUACCCUAAUCAUCCAAUUACCUUUGAUAUAUCUACAAAUAGCUUCCCACUUCUUCAUUUCUUCCCUUUUCUUUGUUAAAUUUCUGUUAAUCAUUAACUCUGGUAAUUUUUGGCUUUAUUAUGUUUAACUUACAACAUUUACAUGGAUAAUCCUACCUCUUCCUCGAAGAUGAGGAAAAAUAAGUCUAGUGUGAUGAUAUUAUAAGCUACCAACUGAACAUAUGAUUCAGUGUCUACUUUAAUUAUGGUGAAACAUAUAACUAAAAAUUUGUAUAGAAAUAUGUAGUGAGGAUAUCCUUUUUUUUCUGCAUAGGCAUAUCCACUCACAUGCAUUUCUUUCUUAAAAUUUGAAUUUAAAUUUCCAUAUGAUUACUUGUUUAUUGAGGUCAAAAUGAUAGAAUUUCAUCUAAACCUAUGAUGAUGAAUGUAUACACUAAAACCCUUGAUAAAAAAAACUUUUAUUACAAUUUGAUUCAAUUUAUAAACAAUACUCAAAAAUCCAUGAACUGCCAAACAUGGAUAGUUUGGGGCUUUCAGGAGUAUGUUUAGGGUUCUAUAUUUUAAAAAAUAAGUGAAAGUAUUUUUUUGGUUAAACAAAUACUCCUAUUUACUAAUAUAUAUAAUAUAACAAUAAAUCAUAACAAACAAAGAUGCCCACAUUAAUAUUUGACUUAAAGAACUACAAAUCAUUUUACAUGACGACCUUUUGACCCUAGUAAAAGUAAUUCUUUAUUUGUCUACUUUUGAAAUUCUUAACAAAAAUAAUAUGGGGUCUAUAAAUUAGGAAACCAGAGAAGACAAUGAGGGAUAAUGAGUAGUCCUUAAUUCGGAAACCAUGCCUUAGUUAGAUUUAUAGGCUUACCGAGUGAUCUAUCAUGAUUUAUUUGUUGUCCUUUUCGGUUUUAUUUUUAAAUGUUGACCCAUGGCCGAGCAAGUAUAAGGAAGUAUAAUUUGUUUUAGGUUUUUUAAUAAAACACGAAAAUUGCCUAAAAAUAAGGGGUCUCUUUAUUUACUUUCAAUUUUUUUAGCACAAAUAACGUGGGGUUUCUGUUUGCUUUCAAAGUUUUGACCACAAAUAAUGUGUCUUUUUACAUGCUUUUGGAGUUUUAACACAUAUAGCAUGGAUUUUCUUUGCUUGCAUCUAGAGUUUUUAACACUAAUAUUUUGGGUCUCUUUGUCUGCUAUCAAUUUUUUAAUACAAGGAAUCUGAGGUUUUUGUUUUUUCCUAAGUUUUAACACAAAAAAUGUGGCUUUUUACUUGCUUUGGGAGUUUUUAACACAAAUUAUACGAGUUAUCUUUAUUUGCUUUUAGAUUCUAACAAUAGUUACAUGGAAUAGGGUCUCUGUCUGGUGCUGGAGUUUUAACAACAAUAAUGUUAAAUCUUUCUCUGCUUCAAAAGUUUUUAACACAAAUAACGUGGUUGUGUGUUUGUUUUUGGAUUUGUGAAACAAAAAUAUUGUGUCUUUUUUUUUGUUUUUAGACUUUUGAAAACUGCAAACAUGGGGUCUCUUUAUUUGGUUUUGAAAUCUUUUAACACAAAAAAAUGAUGGGUCUGUCUAAUUUUCAAAAAUAAUGAUCUUAAUUUAGCUUCUGAAAUAAUUUUUUUUGAAUCGUAAAUUUCAAAUCUAAAAAAAAGAUACUUAAAUAUUUCAUCAAGGUAAAAUAAUAAUAAUAAUAAUCAAGUGUGCACGGUUUUUUGAUGUUCCUUUUUUGUACUUUUAGAAAUAAUAAUCUAUCACACUUGUUUUCACCCAUUUUUUUUAGUUUUUUAUUUUAAAUAAAUAGUUUUUAAAAAAUUGGUUGUGGUUGGUUGGUGUGGGAGAGAUUUCUUUAAUAAAGAAUUUUUAAAAAAUGUGAAUUUUGAAAAAGGACAAUUUUUUUAUAUAAUAAGGAUCACCAAAUUUAAGGAGAGCGGCUUAAGUAUCUAAUCAGGUGCAAAUAAAAUGUGCAUAAUUCGUGAAGAUUUUGUACAAGUGUUUGAACUUUUUGAAAAAUUCCUUUAUAGCAAAAGAGGCUAGAAUCACACAAUUUGAAAUUGGACGGUAAACAAAUAUAUUUAUUAAAAUAAUUGGAGUAUUAAUUUUUUUCAUUUACCUAACGUUUUUUAAUUUCUUCCUAGACGGAAUCGACGUCUAUGUCAUAUUUUAAAGGCUUUCUAGAAGGACUCGACGUCUAUGUCAAAUCCGCUAAGAUAAAUGCACGUGAUAUAUAUAGAGCAUAGCUUACUAGGAAUACACAUGAAUUGAGUUAGACUAUCAAUGGUCCGCACAAAUACAAUCUCAAAUGUUACAUUAAGCUAUAACUUAUAACUGAUUAGACAAAUUAGUUUAACUGACUAUACUUUUUCCCAUUAUUUUACUUUUUGAAAAAAUUUUAAAAACUAACCCUCACCACAUUCUUAAUAAUCCAAUUACAUUUUUAAAAUAUAUAAUUAGCUACCUCUUCUUCACUUCUCUCUGAAAUUGCAAUAAAUUAUGAACUUCUCAUUUUUUUUAUUUUAUUAAACUGAAUUUUCAAUAUUUACAUGGAUAAACAUCCUAUUAGUUGAAGAUUUGUAAAAAAAAAGUCUAAUGUGACGAUAUUUAAGAAAUUAAAUGAUGAUAUGAUUGAAUGUACAAUGUGAUAAAACACAUAAGCAUAAAUUCACAUAGGACUAGUGAGGAUGUCAUUUUUUUUAUAAUUAUGGGCACUUGCUUAGGCAUAAUCAUUCAGUUUUAUAUGAAAAUUUUGAUUAAUAUUUGAAAUUUGAAUUAGUUAACGUAAAAUGCAAAUUUUAGAUUCCCAAGUUUUAAAAAUUAGAAAUUUCAGAAUUAGUUGCAUUGAAUAUUAGCAUUUAAUGUAUUACAAUCUCUUCACAUGUGUUGUACAUGUAUUACAUAAUAACGUAAUGCAUAUUUUUAUAUAUAAUAUCAACAUUAUUAAACUACAUAACCCAAAAAGCAGUAUUAAUAAAAACAAGUAUAUAUCAUACAUUAUUUUUUUUAAAUUGAAACAAAUGGAAUUGAUAAAUUUUUUUCCAUGAAAUUGAAAUUUCUACUUGGGUUGUCAGUGUUGAUACCCUCCACAUCUUCAAGAACCAAUUCAGCUGGAAAUCUUCUCUUAAAAUCUGUAUUUUGAAUUCAAUUUUUUCAGGGUUGUACUCUGAGAGUUCAAACACAAUUCCAUCCCCCUCUAUUAGAUUGUUAUUAUCCGCAAAAAAUUUCCAUCUAGUACUAAAUUUGUAUUUUGUUUUGGCUCCAGCAAAAGGUAGCUCUUUGUUCAUUUUCUUGGGUAAGUAUUGUCAAACAUUAAAAAAAAUUAGCAAAAUAAAAGUCAAGAAUCCAGAAAACCCGAAUUGUUCAGAUCUAACUUUAUAUAUAUAUAUAUAUAUAUAUAUAUAUAUAUAUAUAUAUAUAUAUAUAUAUAUAUAUAUGAACCUAAACAUUAAGCUUGAAACAAAGAACAUCUAAUAUUUAAUGCACCACUCCAAAACAAAAAUUCUUCCCCCUGUUUUCUGUAACACUCUCGAAAAUGCUAGGUUUAACUAAAUCCUAAACGUAAGGAUAAAUUUAAUACAAAUAAUUUCCCCUACGUUAGUAGACCAUGUAAUAAUUUUAGGGGGUUUAGGAGUCAAGGCCUAAUAGAGGAUUGUCAAGCAAAAUUAGCAAGCAAAGGCCAAACGUCAAGGAUGCCACAAACUUGGAGCUACUUCCUCAAGGCUCUACGACUACCACCGCGGCUCAUUGUAGAGACCACAGUCAGUGGAAGUCUUUGUUAAGUUGCGUUGGCCAAGAGAGAGGAGCCCCAAGUGUCCUAGACACUGCCCCAUGGGUCGUGAUCCACUCCAUGACUCGUGAGUUGGGGCGUGAGACUCCGUUAGUUUUUUGUAGGAAAUGGGAAAUUUAGUGGAGCUACUGCCCAAAGAACCAUUGGCACCAUAACAGGCCGCGGUGAACUUGAUGAGGGGAACGGGGGUUUGACUUCAUUAAAAAAACACCAAACGAUUCGGGGAAAGAGUUUAACCUCUAAGAUUUUCAUCUCAAUUUCGUGGUAAAGAUUCAAACAAGGUAUGAGAACUUUCAUUCAUGGGAUUUCAUUCCCCAUGAAGCCUUUCCUAUACUAUUUUUUAAAUUGGGAAUUUGUUCAAAAUUAGGGUUUUGAUUCUAACCUUGGGUUCUUCUCAAAAACAUUUUAUUUAUAUGUUGUUAUCCUAUACUAUACUGAAAUUGACAUUCAAUGAGGGGUUUUAUUGCUAAAUUUCCCUUGAACCCAUGUGUUUUCCGCAUGCCCCCAACUUUAUAAAAAUUAUGAUGGGUUCAUUUAUGAAUUUUGAAUUUGUGCUAUAGUAUAUAUGUCUAUCUAGUAAUUAAUAUUGUUUAUUUCAUGCUUAUAUGUAAUUCUAAGUGUUAUUUCAAGAUAUGAUCGAUGACUCUUGAAGGGUAAAUUGUAAGUGUUGAAUCUUGAAUUAUGCGCUUGAACACAAUGCAUGUAGGUAAUCCUAUGUUCAAGAUUAUGAUAUAGGAAUGGUUUGAUCCACUUGAAAGGUGGACGUGCAUACUUAUAUGUAUUUAUGUAUGAAGUUAUGUUCCACUUGAAUGGUGAAAAUUCAAGACUAAAGUGUGAUAUAUGGUAUGUUGAAAGGCUUGUUUCCUUUACUAUUAGACAUGAGUAUGUAUUAAUUGUCUUGGAUGAUUAUAUGAUGAUUCUAAGUUGAAAGGUAGUUCUCACCAUAUUAAAUACAUGAGCUAUGUAUGAGUUGGGUUGAAUGAAGAGUAAUGUACUCCUUCUCAUAUGAAAUUUCAAUUCACCUUAACUAUUUAUAAGUUGGAGAAUAAUGCUUCACGCCACGUGGAUAUGGCAAAUGAGGUUGAGACGUUCUCGCUAGUUUAGGCCGGGUAUUCUACAUAUGAUCUAAUGAGAUGGAAACUCUCCCGCUAGUUGAAUCGGUCGGGUUUCUAGAAGCAAUCUUAUUAUCCCAUAUCUAUGUGCCCGCAUAGGUCUUAGCUAGUGCAUCCAUAUUACAGAUAUAUAUGCUUAGUUCCACCUUAGGAAUGUAGAACACCUGCUAUCGGUGUGGGGCUAUAUGUCACAAGAUUUCAUGUAACUCUCAUGGUCUAUGCGGCUAAGGCAAUUCUCCUUAUGUAAUAAGAUAAUGCAUAUGACCUGAACCAUAUUUAUGAUUUCUUGAUAAUUCUACUUCGUAGGAGUGACGGUAUGUGACUUCACCUUUUACAUUGCACAAGUAGUCUUUAAAAAAUGAAUAUGGGUGGGUCCAUGAUGCUAUGGUAUGACAUGAAGGUACGAUAUUCGUUGAUUGGGUUGUUGUUAAGAUACGGUUCUCCUUAUGUAUAUGUGAUGAACAUAGUUAUUCACUUCUGUAUGAUUGUGGAUUAUGAUGGGAUCUAAUAUAGAUAUGUGUAACUCAUGUGAUUCUAAAUGGAUACUUAGUAUAGUUGGUAUUAUGUGAUGCCAACUAUGCAUUGCACAAGUAUGCUUUUAGGGUUGCUAAGGUGAUGGUCAUACUAUGUUAUGAAAAAUCGUAUGAGAAUGCUAUUAUGAUUUGUCUGAUGUCCUUUUGUGCAUAAAUUGUUUUCCAACUUAAUAAACGCAUUAUUUUCACUAAAAUUUCUUUUUAGCAAUAUUAAGUAUCUUUAUACAUGUUUCCAUACUUCGUACUGUUUUUUCUAACCCAUUCUCUUCUACAUCUCCUAUAAUUGUAUGUUCGGACCAUUGAGGUGCUGUUAGUUCAUUCUUGAAGAAAACUUGAGUUGCUACCUCUAUGUUUUGGUGAGACCUCCAUUCUGAGUACGGAAUGUUAUUGUUUCUAGUUCUACCUAACUUUCCUUGUUAAGGACUAUAUUGUAUUUUCUUAUGAUAAGACUUACGAUUAAUGUAAGGAGUGAUUCCUAACUUUCGUACUCUUAUAUUUAGAUUGUCUUACAAAUCUAGCUUCCCAUUUUUCAUAUAUGAAGAAAGUUGUAGUUCUAUGAUAAAAGUUUUAAGUUUCCGCAUUAUUCUUAUGUCUUAUGUAAUGGUGGUUAAGGGCUUGUAUGAGACUCCUUCAAUUUCAAGUACGUUAUGUCACUCCUAGUGUGUAACCCGCAUCGUGACAUAUUCAAUACAAUGAAAUGAGAUUCUACAAUUUAAAAAAAAAAAGAAGACCUUUUUAGAAAAUGAAAUAUCUCAUAAUCAUAAAAAUGAAAUUCUUACUAAUAAAGAUGGGAAAAUGCACAAGUACCCCCUCAACCUAUGCUCUAAAUCCCAGAGACACACUUAUAGUAUACUAAGGUCCUAUGACCCCUCUGCACUUACUUUGUUAAUAAUUUUCUACCCAUAUUCGGCCUGCGUGGCACUAUCUUGUAUGCCAAAUGCUGGUCGGCUUUUUUUCAAACUAGUGCCACGUAGGCCGAAAAGGUGUAGAAAAUUACUUAUAAAAUAAAUUCAAGGGGGUUAAUAGUACCUUAAUAUAGUAUAAGUGUGUCUCUGGAAUUUAGGGCAUAGGUUGAAGGGGUACUUUUGCAUUUUCCCAAUAAAGAUUAUAAAAGGAUAGGAAAUCAUUUCCCCAUCCUGUAACGACCCUCAAAAUGAAAUAGGGUAAUCUAUCGCCUCAUAAGGUCUUAAUGAGUUAAUAAGGUUUUAAGAUAAUUAAUAUUAGAAUUAUAAGUCAAUUUUAGAGUUGGGAAGUCAAAACGUCCAAGGACGACCAAGACGUCCGGAAACUAGUCUUGAGCGUGUGCUAGUGUGCCCUUGUAUGUUGUAUGUGUUUUUAUGUGUUGUUUGGAGUCUAAAAUUAGUGGAUAUGAACCUAACACCUAUAUGACCAUACUUAGGGUCAAAGUCAUCCGGUUAUGAAUCCCCUAAGGGCCCCCUAGGGGUCCUUGAGGAGGACCCAACCUUGGGCCAACAAGCUGCCCAAGGCGGUUACAAAUUGUGUAUAGAUGAAACCAGUCCGUGUCGCGUACAUGGUUCACGAAGGGUCAAAUUUUUUUACAUGUCUUGGACUCUACUUUCCCAAAAACUUUUUCGAAAAAUCUUGAGGGAACAACUCCACGAUGUGGACUUGUUCCUCGACGAUGAUUCCGAAAAUUUAAGUUAAGUUUUACUUGUCUAAAAAGGUCCAAUUAAUGUGGGGUUAUUUUGGGGGUGUAUUUUAUAUUGAUUUUUAAGUCAUUAUGCACCCAUUACCCUAAUCAAAAACUUCAAUCCUCAAUUAGAGUCCAAAAAUUUUAAGCUCUCCAUUUACUCAAAUUCUCUAUAAUUAGAUCCUCCAUUGGAGGACCUUCAAGUCCCAAGGAAGAAGGCAAAAUUAUCCAAGUUUUCAUGCCUAAUUUCGUGGGAUUUCAUCCUUGACUCUUCUUCCAUUCAUGGAGACAAUUUUAAAGGCUUUCCAAAGAUGUUUAAAAACAUAGAAAUUCCUAUUUUUAUUUCUACGCAUGGGUUCUAGCAUGAAAAGUUUUAAAUCAAUGUUUUGUGAAGUAAUUAAUAUUAAUUGAAUAUUUUAAGAUCAAAAACUCGCUGAACCUAUGUAUUCCUUGAAUUCCAAAUUUUGGCUCUAAAGUGAAUGAAUUGAUCAUGGCUUGAUCUUAGUGAAUUCAUGUGUAGAUUGUUUUGGGAUAUUGAAUUAUGUACAAAUCAUGAUAGAAUUGUUUAUAACGUGCCUUAUAAUUAUGAUAUUCAUUAUUUAUGUUGUUCUAUCAUUGAUAUGGAUUGGUUGUUGGCUUAGUAUUGUGUACAUGGCUAUUGGUAAGAGCCUUUGUAAAGUGAAUUAGUCGAAAAGGCUAAAGAAUAAUGACGAUGAUGAUUGUGAGGUGGUGAGUUGACCUAAUUCCUCAAUUUAGUAUUGAAGUAAUAUUGAAUUGCCUUGAUUGCUCUGGUCCACUUACGGUGGCAGUGUCUAAGUGUUAUAACUGUUAUGAAAAUGGCAUUGGCGGUGUUACUAUGCGAAGUAAUGUGAUCAGUAGAAGAUGUUGUGGCUUAUAUUAAUAUGUAAAGUGGAGGAUGAUAUGAUAUAUGUGUCAUAUUGUAUAAUGUGAAGUUAUUAAGUGAAGUACUCUUGUAAUGUCUAUAUGAUCGUUUAUGGGAGUUAAUGUUAUUAUUAUUCUCUAAUUGAUGAUAUAUGAUGAUGAAGGACAAAGAAGUGUCCUUAUCGAAUAAUGUUUUACAUUGUGUGGUAGACUUAUUUGUCCCGACAUGGUACUUGGAUGUUAUUGAAUCCGUGAUAUGAUGAUGUUUGUGUCUUGAUUGGUAGACUUAGGUCCCUCCACUUGAUAUAUGAAAGUUAUGUAAAUAUGAACUUUUGAUGUAGUAGGGUUAGGCACCUCUAUCAUGUAUGUGCGCAUGAAUGAAUGAUUAAUGAAAGUGUAGGAUCGGUAGACCUUAGAUGGUGCCCUUGUAAGGAUGAAUAAUAUAGGACCUUGAAUAAGAAAGGAAGGUCAAGAGAAUAGAACCUUGAAUAUAGAAAAAAAGGUUAAUAGAAUCCUUAAAGUGAAAAACCGUAAUGGUAUCCUUCUUGAGUGGAAUGAUAGACUUAGGGAUAGGUUGGCUGGAACGACAUAAAACCAUCUCUAAGGAAGUCAUAAGAGUUAUCCUAAUAGUCGUAGGUUGGACGCCCUAGUGGACACAUCCUUGUAGAGUAAAUCAAAUUUUUAGCAUGGUUUUCUUGGAUGUUCACCAUACUUAGUGCAUUCAAUGAGCUAAUUUCAUAUGUUGUUCUAUUUCUACAAGUGUAGGUGGCAAGUGAGGAGUCUCUUAGAAGAAAAGCUUGAGACUAACAUUAGAAGAAAAGAUUGAGACUUGGUAUAUCCUCAUAUGAUUAAGGACAUAGUUAUGCCUUAGUUUCCUUUCAAAAAGACUUUGUAAUAGACUAUAGUUACUUUUAAAAUUGAUGUAAGGGAUGUCACCCAAAGAUAUUUUAUGUUUCUAAGAUGACCAUGAUGAGACUUAGUUCUUUCUUACGAUUCUAUAAAUAUUUGAACUAUUUUUGGAAAAUGCUUUAAACCGGCACUACUUUUCAAACAGGUGCGAUGAACGACGUUUAAGGGCUUGUAUAAGACCUUGGGAGUUCUAGUAUGUCGUGUGGCGACUUAAGGGUGCUCUUACUUUUAGGGUAUACUCUUAAGUCGUUACACAUCCAAUACCCAUAGUCCCACUAAAUUCAUGUUCAUCCCAAAAAUCCCAACACUAGUUUAUGAAGUGUCCUAACAAAGAUGAUUUUAUAUCACCACAAAACCUCUAGUUAAGGAUGAGAAUCACCAUUACAAAGAAUAGUUUGUGAAUAAAUACUAACAAAAAGAGGGAGUUUUAUAUGAAAAUAGGAGGAAGGAAACGAGAGUUACCAAUCUGUAGAUGGGCUUGACAUUGCUCUUAGUAAGAACCAUACCAACAUAUGGUUUAUCCGAAAGUGGCAAAAUUUCAUCUUUGUUGAUUUCUAUACUUCCAGUGCUUUCAGUCAUGAUGAAUUCACCUUUUUGGUUUGAAAAUUGUUCAGAAGACGAUCCACCCUAAAAAAUAAUAAUGAAAAGAGAAGAUAAGUUUUAUAAUCAAUAUCGGGGUAUUGAGAGAAAGAGAAGUAGAAGUAUAUUAUGAUAAUGUGAUGCAUUAAGUUAAAAACUAGUCCUUCUUACUAGUUUAUAUAAUGUGAUACUUCGUUUUAAAAAGAGGUGAUGCAUUUGAGAUUGUUUUGACUUAAAGAAUUACAAAAUCAAAUUGAAUAACAAUUAUUCAAGGUCUUUUUUGAAUCAUAGCACAAAUAAUGUGGGAUCAUUAUGGCUGCUAUUGAAGCUUUUAACAUAAAUAAUGUGGGGUUUAUAUAUAGUUUUGAAGUUCCGAAGCUAUUGGAAUUAAAUGUAUAUCUUUAAUGCAAUUAUAAUUUAAUAUCUCCUAAAACUUUUAAAGUAGUAGUUGAGAAUCAUCGGGAAAAUAAAAAUAUCAUACAUUGUAAAUAUAAAAAAAAUUGUGAUCUAAAAAUCUAUUUUUUCAUCAAUGGCCUGUUUAUAUGUAAUGCGGCAUGCUUCUAAACCAAAGAAUGACAUUAAUUUUUUUUCCCUCAAAAUUUUGACAUUUUUUAAAUUAUUUUCCAUUUAUUAUAUGAUGUAUUAGCAAAUCCUUACAAUGUUUAUUAAUUACAUUUUAAUCAUUAAUUCUUCAAAUCAAUCUAUGUUACUAUUUUUUUUGCAUUUGCUUAAUCUUAACUACCACUAAUUGUGUUUCACUCUUUUUAGAAAACAAUUAAAUGAUUUUCAUUUCUAUUGUGGAAAAUACACCAACCUAUAAAUACUAUUUUUUUUAUAUUAGUUCUGACUCAUAUAAUUCCAUAGUCAUUCCAACAAUCAAUUUACAUUUUAAUCUAUUCUUCACUUGUCUCAUAAUUAUUAUUAUUUUUGCUAUGAUGUAACAUUAUUUACCUUAUUUUUGCUUUUAAUUAAUUAUUGAUGUAUUAUAUUUGCAUGAUAAGAAUUUUUUCAAAUUUUCUUUCUUUUUUAAUCCUAUUUAGAGAAAUGGGAGUUUAAAGGAUGAACAAGGAAAAAAUCUUAAUUUUACGUUUACUCCAUUUUUUAAUCAUUCCAGAAAUUUACAAAUUUCUCUAUUAGUUCUAGAAGAAAUCAGUCCACGUCCUCUGUGCACCUCUUCCUCUUUCGAAGGUAAUUUUCCUGGGAUUCUUUAAUAAUAAUAUGUCUACUAUAUGUUUUAUAUGCAUGCUAGCAGUUGUUCCUGUUUUCGACAUGCAUUAUGCCUUUUUGAUGUAUUUUGUGUGGAUUAACAACUAAUUUGAGGAAGACAAUGCACCUAAUAUAUUUAAUAAUAUUUUUGCCAAAGAUGGAAUCUAAACUUUUGUAUUCUUUUGAUUUUGAAUCAAACAACUAAAGUGUGCAUUUUUCAGGUUCAUAAUUUGUCAAGGUCUUGUUAUGAGCUUUUUAAAUACUCAAGUAAAGAGGUUGUACUCAUGUAAAGAUGUAUAUUCUUUCAAAUUUUGUUGUACACCUAAUUUGAAUCCCAAUAUCUAAUCUUCAUUGUCAAGUGUUUUUAACAUUGUUUAGAAAGUGAAAUAUGUAUGUACAAGCUGUAGCAUAUUCCUCAUGACAAUCAACUAAAGAAUUGCACAUGGGUGGUCCGUGAGGUGCAAAAGUAACUUUUCUUAAUGUAAUACUUGGGAGAACUAUAGUAGCCUUGUAAGAAAGGUUUAUUCUCUUUCUUGUUUUUCAACUAAUUUGACUUUUUUAGGUAUGUGUAUUGUUGUGUUAUAUAGAUAAAAGUCAGUGAUGUAUCUACCUUUUUUUUUUUAAAUCCAAUAAUACAAGAAAUUGCUUACUUUUGUCCAAAAAAGUUGAUGGGAAUGUGGUUCCUUAAAUUUCUUUUGGGAAAAUUCUCUACUUUAGAGGUUUCAUUCAAGCUACCAUAGUUAGCGCUUGGUUUGUACUGGAUCUUGUGAUAAUAGAAUAAGGAUUCUCAAAUAACUUUAAAACCUACUUAUGAGAUAAGAGUAUUCAGAAUCUUUUUGUUGGGAAAGUUUUCUCAAUUGCCUCUUUCCCAUCUUAGAGUGUAAUCUUGAGCUUAAAGUUAUCUAUUACCCAUGUUUUUAUAUUCUAAUUGAGGAUUCUCAAUAGUUCUUGAGAUUCUCUUUUGCUAAUUUAGGACAAUAACAACACACACACACACACACAGAAAUACACAUAUAUAUAUAUAUAUGUUUACUCUCUAUUCCUUUUCAGUAGAAUUAUUAAGUAAUUGUCUGUUCUCUUAUUUUUAAUGUAUAUAAGUCAUUGUUGCUUCCCUGCUUUAUCUCUUGCUUUUUGCUGACAUAUAUGUCUAGCUGUUUUGCUUCAGAAAAAUCUCUUUAGAGCCGAGGGUCUAUAGGAAAUCAUCUCUAUAGUAACUCAUAAUAUUACAAAUACUCAAAAUUGCACUUUUUAACUGAUAAAGAGUUUUUCACAGAAAAACUGAACCAAUAUGAAUUCAAUAACGCAUGUAUCAUUACACGUCAUCAUACAUAUGUGAUUAAACAAAUCAGUAAAUGAAAAUGGCGAAGAGAGAGUGCAUGAGCCUAUAUCAAUUCAAUAAGAGAAGAGGAAAUAGAAGAGAGACGGAUUUGUAAAAUCAAGAAAAGAAUACAUAGUGAGAGAGUAGGAAAAGAGACAAGGAGAGUACAUAGAUUACCUGGUAAGGACGAGAGAGACGAGAUCGCGCUACGGCCGGUGAGGAAGAGUAGUUUUCCCUAAUUCGUAUGGGUGAAUUUGGAGAAUGAAAAGAGAGGUUUUCCCUAAUCUGUGCCGGUGAAUUUGUUGGUAGAGGGAUUGUACCGGGAAAUAAACUUUAGGAAGAAUUUAUAUUAAGUAAAAACUAUAGCAGAAUUAACUUUUAAUCGCUAGUAAUAAUAUUUUUCCCCAUGGAAAAUGCCGAAAUGACGGUAAUACACGAAUGUAGGGAGCAUUUAGCGGCAAUAUAUUUAUUGCCUCUAAAAAAAUGUCCCUAAAUGUGGUUUUUUUAGUUGUGUGCAAAACUUAGUAAAUUUAUAAAAUUGACAAGUAUCUUAUAUUUUUGGAGUGUUAUUUGGAAGUGUUUCAAUAAUUUUUCUAGCUGGUUGUCCAUUUAAGAAUUCAGGUCGCUUUUGUGAUUUUUGUUAGAUAAAGAAAGGAGACGCUGCAAGCUGACUGUACUAAAUUAUUAGGUUUAAGAGCGAAAGAAGGCAAACAACAGAUCAAGUAAACAAUCUCUCCAUUCAAAGUGUUCUAAAUAUGUUUUGACAUAUUUUUUGGUAAUACCUAUCCGUUGUCACUCAAGUGCAUACUCUGCUACAUAGUGUAUUUAAAUGAGCUACUUGAUAGUGUUUUGUGGACCACUCAUAGUAAGGGAGAUAAAAAUGUUCUUUAUAAUCAUAUGUAGGCUGCUCAUAUUAUGCCAGGUAAGAAUGAACUUUUCAGUUCCCUAUGAUUUAUCAAUGAUGUUAAAAUUUCAUUCUUACCUCGCAUAAUAUGAGCAACCCACAUAUGAUAAUAAAGCACGUUUUUAUCUCACUUAAUAUGAGUGGUCCACAAAACACUAUCAAGUAGAUCAUUUAAAUACACUAUGUAGCAGACCAUGCACUUGAGUGAGAACAGAAAGGUAUUACCAAAAAUUAUGUCAAAACAGAGUUAAAACACGUUGAAUGGAGAGAUUGUUUACUUGAUCUGCUGUUUGCCUUCUUUCGGUCAUAAACCUAAUAAUUUAAUACAGUCAGCUUGCAGCGUCUCCUUUCUUUAUCUAACAAAAAUCACAAAAGCAACCUGAAUUCUUAAAUGGCACAACCAUCUAGAAAAAUUAUCGAAACACUUCCAAAUAACACUCCUAAAAUGUAAGAUACUUGUCAAUUUUAUAAAUUUACUAAGUUUUGCACACAACUAAAAAAACCACAUUUAGGGACAUUUGUUUAGAGGCAAUAAAUAAAUUGCCUCUAAAUGCUCCCUACAUUCGAGUAUUACCGUCAUUUGGGUAUUUUCCAUGGGAAAAAAUAUAAUUACUAGCAAUUAAAAGUUAAUACUGCAAUAUAAUUUUUACUUAAUAUAUAUUCUUCCAAAAUAUUAUUUCCCGGUAAAGUCCCUCUACCAAUAAAUUCACCCACACAGAUUAGGGCAAACCUCUCUUCCUCAUUCUCCGAAUUCACCCAUACGAAUUAGGGAAAACCACUCUUCCUCAUCGGCCAUGGCGCGAUCUCGUCUCUCUCGUCCUUACCAGGUAAUCUAUGUACUCUCUUUGUCUCUGUUCCUACUCUCUCACUAGGUAUUCUUUUCUUGAUUUUGCAAAUCCAUCUCACUUCUAUUUCAUUUUCCCUUAUUGAAUUGAUAUAGGUUCAUGCACUCUCUCUUCGCCUUUUUCAUCGACCGAUUUGUUUAAUCACAUAUCCAUGAUGAUGUGUAAUGAUACAUGCGUUAUUGAUUUCUUAUUGGUUCAGUUACUUUGUGAAAAACUCUUUAUCAGUUAAAAAGUGCAAUUUUGAGUAUUUGUAAUAUUAUGAGUUGCUAUAAAGAUGAUUUCUUAUAGACCCUCGGCUCAAAAGAGAUGUUUCUGAAGCAAAACAGCUAAACAUAUAUGUCAGCAAAAGAGAAAGAGAUAAAGCAAGGAAGCAACAACGAGUAAUAUACAUUAAAAAUAAGAGAACACACGACUACUUAAUAAUACUACAGAAGUAAGGAAUAAACACUAAACAUGGAUAUAUAUAUAUAUAUAUAUAUAUAUAUAUAUUUGCUGUCAUUCUCCUAAAUUUGCAAAUGAGAAUCUCAAGAACUAUUGAGAAUCCUGAAUUAGAAUCUAAAAUAUGGUAUUAGAUAACCUUAAGCUCAAUAUUACACACUAAGUUGGGAAAGAGGCAUUUGAGAAAACUUACCUAAUGAAAAGAUUCUGAAUACUCCUAUCUCAUAAGUAGUUUGUCAAGUCAUUUGAGAAUCCUUAUUCUAGUACCACCAAAUCUAGUACAAACCAAGCACUAAGCAUGAUAGUUUAAAUGAAAUCUCUCAAGUAAAGAAUUUUCUUAAAAGAAAUUUAAGGGACCAGAUUCUCAUCAACUUCUUUAACAAAAGUAUGUCAUUUCUUGUAUUUUUGUAUUAAAAAAAAGGUAGAUACAUCACUGACUUUUAUACAAAGAACACAACAAUACAAAUACCUGAAAAGGUCAAAUUAGUUGAAAAUUGAGAAACAAUAUUUUAUUCAAAGUAUUCUGCAAUCACAUGUUUCUCCAUCCAUCAAGAUCUGACACUGGAGUAUAUUGUUUUGAAAUGAUAGUGUUAUUAAAAAAAGUGUCAAAAACAUGCUAUUAUUUCAAUCGGUUAUUCAUACUUUAAGUGUUGUUGUGUGAUUCUUCUGUGGUCUUAUCAUAAUAGAGGUUAAUAUAAAAGUAGGCUUUAUUUUCAAGCAUCAUCGUAGAUAUCAAAUAUAUUUAAAAUAUUAUACAUCUUUACAUGAGUAUAAUGGAUUUACUUGAGUAUUUAAAAAGUUCAUAAACAUAUCUUUGCUAAUUAAGAACCUGAAAAUGCACACUUCAACUGUUUUACAUAUAUCAUUCAAAAUCAACAGAAUAAAAAAUUAGAUUCCAUCUCUGAAAACAUAUAAUUAAAUACAUUAGGUGCAUUAUCCACCUCAAAUUAGUUGUUAAUCCACAUAAAAUAUAUCAAAAAGACAUAGAAGCAUGUCAAAAACAGGAAAGUAAACUAGAACUAUAAUCAAUAACAUAUCGUCCUCACAUUGAGGACUCACCAAAACUUGGAGGUAGCAACCCAUGUUUUCUUAAAGAAUGGGCUAAGAGCACCUCAAUGGCCUGAACCUACACUCGUAGGAGAUGUAAAAGAGAAGGGGAUAAACAAAAGCACACUAAGUCAGGAAACAUGCAUAAAAAUACCUAAUUAUGCUAAAAAGGACAUUUUCGUGAAAAUCAUGCAUUGAUUAAGCUUGAAAACCAUUUAUGCACAUAAGGACAUAAUACAAGUCAUAAUAGCAUUCUCAUAUGAUUUUUCAUAACAUAGUAGGACCAUCACCUUAGCAACCCUAAAAGCAUACUUGUGUUUAUAAUCACCUUUAGUUACACAUAUCAACUUUAGAUACCCAACUAUACUAAGUAUCUAUUUAGAAUCACCUUAGUUACACAUAUCAACUUUAGAUUCCAUCAUAAUCCAAAAUCAUACGUAAGUGAAUAACCAUGUUCAUCAUAUGUACAUAAGGCGAGUCAUAUCUUAACAACAACACAAUCAACGUAUAUCAUACCUUCAUUUCUUACAAUAGCAUCAUGGACCCACCCAUAAUCUCCUUCAAAGGUUACUCAUGCAAUGUAAAAAGUGAAGUCUCAUACCCUCACUCCUAAUACAUAUACUUAUGAAGAAAUCACAAGUAUGGUUCAAGUCAUAUUCAUUAUCUUAUUACAUAGAGAGAAUAGCCUUAGACAAUGUGACCUACAUGGAAUUCGGUAUAAUAUAACCCCACACCGAAAGAAGGUGUCCCGCUUGGCUAAGAGAAUUAAACAUAUAUAGUUUUAAUAUUUAUCCACUAGCUAAGACCUAUGCAGGCACAUAGUUAUGGAAUAGAGAGAUUGCUUCUAGAAACCCGGCCUAUUGAACUAGUGGGAGUGUUUCCACUCAUGAGAGAAUAUAUAAAAGACCUAACCUAAAUUAGCGGGAAAGUCUCUACCUCAUUUGCCAUAUCCGCUCGGUGCUAAGCAUUAUUCUCCAAUUUUUACAUGGUUAAGGUGAAUUAUAAUUUUAUAUGUGAAGGAGUACAUUAUUCUUCAUUCAACCAAACUCAUACAUAUGUCAUGGAUUCAACAUGGUGAGAACUACCUUUCAACUAAGAAUCAUCAUAUAACCAUCUAUGACAAUUAAAACAUAGUCAUGUGUAAUAGUAAAGGAAACUAGUCUUUCAACAAUACCAUAUCUCACAACUUACUCAUUAUAUCUUCACCAUUCAAGUGGAACUUAACAUUAUACAUAAAUACAUAAAAGUAAGCACCUCCAGCUUUAAAGUGGAUCAAACCAUGUAUAUAUAAGAAUCUUGGACAUUGGAUUACCCUCAUACAUUGCCUUCAAGUCCAUAAUUCAAAAUUCAACACUUACAAUUUUCACUCCAAGGGUCAUAGACCAUAUCUUGAAAUCAUGCUUAGAAUUUCUACUGUAAGCAUGAAAAAUAAAAAAAAAUUAUUUACUAAAUCCUCAUACAUACUAUUUCACAUAUUCAUAAUUCACAAAGAAACCGCAUCAUAAUUUUCAUAAAGUUGAGUGAAUGGGAAAACACAUGGGUUCAAGGGAAACGUAACAAUAAAAACCCUAAUUAAACUUUAAUUUCAUUAUAAUAUAUGAUAACCAACAUAAAUAAAAUGUUUUUGAGAAUAACCCAAGGUAAGAAUCGAAACCCUAAUUUUGAAUAAACAUCCAAUAUCAAAAAUAGUAGAGGAAGGGCUUCAUGGGAAAACAAAUCUCAUGAAUGAAAGUUCCCAUACCUUGUUUGAAGCUUUACCACAAAAUGAGAUGGAAAUGUUGGAGCUUGAACCCUAUCCUUGAAGCUUUUGGUUUUCUUCAAUGGAGGAAAUUUGUAUAGAGAGAAAUAUUUGAGAGAAUUAGUUUUGGGAAGUAUUGAGUUUGAGUCUUGUAAAUGGAUGAAAAAGACUUUAAAACCUAAUUAUAUUUUACCCAUAAACCAUCCAAAACACUCACACAUAUAUUGGACUCAAAAGUAACAGACUACACUAACCAUCAUUAAAAGAACUCGUCCAGGUUCACAAUCCACGCCUCACGAGCCGUAUUGAGCACCUCGACUUAUGGUGAUUGUCAUGAGGAUUAAGGCAAUAUCCUCUUCAAGAUUGCCAAUUCCUACAAAACCAAGUCAUGUUCACGAGCCCCCUUCCCCUUGUCAAGAGCACCACGGCCUGUUAUGGUGCCUGUGGUGCUUUGGGUAUCUCCCCUAAAUGCCCCAUUUCCUAAAAAAAAUAAAAAAAGCUAAGCGAGUCUCCCUCACGAGUCGUGGAGUGGACAACAAUCUGUGGUCCCAUCGUGAGGGUUGGCGCAGUAUCUAGGACACUUGGGACUCCUCUCUCUUGGCCAAGGAAACUCCACAAAGCCUUCCACUAACCGUGGUCUUGACCACGAGCCGUAGUGGUGGCCGUUGAGCCUUGAGGCAUUAGCUCCAAGUAUGGGGCAUCCUUGACUUUUUGCCUUGUCUUGCUCCUUUUGAUUGGAACUCCUCCAUAAGGCCUUGACUCCUAAACCUUCUAAGUGUAUUGGAUGGUCUACUAAGUUGGGGGAAAUUAUUUUUAUUAAAUUUAUCCUUACGUUUAGGCUCUAGUUCAACCUAGCAUUUUCCGCUGUGUUACAAACUAUCUUGGAGUGGUACAUUCAAGAUUAGUGUUCUUGGUUUCAAGCUUAAUAUUAAGGUUCAUAUGUGUGUGUGUAUAUAUAUAUAUAAGUUUAGAGCUGGAUGCUUUGGGGUUUUUUUAUUCUGGACUUUUAUUUUGCUAAUUUUUUUUUAUGUUUGACAGUACUUACCCAAGAAAAUAAACAAAGAGCUUCCUUUUUCUGGAGCCCAUGCAGUCCCUAAUUACUUAUGGUGGAACGAAGUGGAACUUGUUUUAUGGUGGAGCUAAAACUAGAUACAAAUUUAAUAUUGGAUGCUAAUUUUUUGCAGAUGAUAACAAUCUAAAAGAGGUGGAUGGUCUUGUAUUUGAACUCUCAGAGUGUAACUCUAAAAAACUCGAAUUAAAAAUUCAAAUUCUAAGAGAAGAUUUUCGAGAUGAAUUGGUUCCUGAAGAUGUGGAGGGUUUAAACAUUGACAACCCAAUAAUAAUUGAUUAAAAACUUUAUCAUUUCUAGUAGAAAUUUCAAUAUUCAAUAAAAAAGAACUUUAAUGAUUCAUGAAGUUUCAGUUUCAAAAAUAGAAACUUCAUCAAUUCCAAUAGUUCCAUGUUUGGUGUAUGCCUCAUUUUAUCAAUGUUGCCUUUUGGGUUAUAUGGUUAAAUAAUAUUGAUAUUAUUAUUAAAAAUAUGUAUUAUAUUUUUACGCCAUACAUGUUCAACACAUGUGAAGAGAUAAUAAAAUAUUAAAUAAUUAUAUAAAAUGCAAUUAAUUUUGAAAUUUCUAUAUUUUAAAACUUGAGAAUCUAAAAUUUCCAUUUUACGUUAACUAAUUCAAACUUCAAUAUUCAAGAAAGAUUGGCAUCUGAAACUAAAUAAUUAUGCUUAAGCAAGAGCCCAUGAUAAAAAAUAACAUCCUUACUAUAGUCCGAUGUAAAUUUAUGCUUAUGUGUUUUUAUCAGAUUAUAGACAUUGAAUCAUAUCGUCAUUUAAUUUCAUAAAUAUCGUCACAUGAGACUUGUUUUUUAUCGUCUUAAACUGGUAGGAAGUUUAUCCAUGUAACAUUGAAAAUUCAAUCCAAUAAAAUAAAAUAAAUUGUGAACUUCACAAUUUAUAGCAUUUUAAGAGAAAAGUGAAGAAGGGGUAGCUACUUAUAUAUUUUUAAAAUGUAAUUGGGUGAUUAAGAAUGCGGCGAGGGUUAGUUUUUAAAUUUUUUUAAAAAGGAAAAUAAUGGGGAAAAAUUAAAAUAAGAUCGAUUGAGCUAUUCUGAGUUUUGUCCCAACGUCCUAACAAAAUUUAUAUCAAAUUCUUAAAAAUAUUUGACAGUUAAAUUAAUUUAUCUCAUCAGUUAUAAGUUAUAACUUAAUGUAAUACUAUGAGAUUGGAUUGGUGCAGACCAUUGAUCAACCCAUGUGGAUCCCUAGUAACAUAUGCUCUAUUUGUAUCACGUGCAUUCACCUUAGUGGAUUUGACAUAGGUGUCGAGUUCGUCGAAAAAGUCUUUAAAAUACGACAUAGACGCUGAGUUCGUCUAGAAAGAAAUUAAUAUACGUUAGGUAAAUGAAAGAAUUAAUACUCCAAUUAUUUUACUCAAUAUAUUUGUUUGAAAAUAUCAAAUUAUAAGAUUCUAGACUUCUUUGCUAUAAAGAAUAUUUUUCAAAAAGUUCAAAUCAUUUUUAAAUAAAAAAUUUGUCCUUGUUCAAAAAUCUCAUUUUUACUUUUUUUUUUAUAAAAAAAUAUCUCCCACACCAACCAACCACAAUCAAUUUUAAAAAAAAUAUUUAUUUAAAAUAAAAAACUAAAAAAAGGGCAAAAACAAGUGUGAUUGCUUAUUUUAUUUCUAAAAGUAAAUAAAGAAACUUCACAAAAACGUGCACACUUGAUUAUUAUUUAUAUUUUUUUUACCUUGAUGAAAUAUUUAAGUAGCUAUUUUUAGAUUUGGAUUUUAUUUUUCAAAAAAAUAUUUCAGAAGCUUAAUUAAGAUCAUCAUUUUUGUGAAUUAGACAAACCCAACAUAUUUUUGUGUUAAAAUAUUUCAAAAGAAAAUAAAGAGACCCUAUGUUCGCAGCGUCCAAAUGUUUGAAAAAAAAACACAUUAUUAUUGUUAAAAAAUUAAAAAAUGUUAUAAAUCCAUUGUAUAGUACAUGUGGAUUAUUUAUUAGAUUUAUCCACUAUUAAUUAGAUUCAUGUAUAGGUGCUUCCAAGGUGAUAAGAACUUCCAAAAAAACUAUGUGUAGAUUAAUUAGAUGACUUUUGGGGUGAUAUCUCAACACUAUAAAUUGAAAUCACUCACCAUUUGAAAGACACACUUGAAUAAGAAAAUUUCUCUCCUCUAUCUUAUACUUCUUGUCUUCUUUUUUUAUUAUAACAUUCUGAGCUUUCUUUAUAAUAAAAAGAAGCAAACAACCAAAUUAUUUGUGUUAAAAUCUUUAGAAGCAGAGACAGACCUAACAAUUAGGUUAAAAACUCUAGAACUAGACAAAGACAUCCUAUUCCAUGUUACUAGUGCUAGAAAUUUUUAAAGCAGAUAAAGAGAACCCACAUUAUUUUUGUUAAAAAUUCUAAAAGCAAGUUAGAGCAACAUUAAUUGUACUGUACACUUCGAAAGCAGAAAGAAACCCCAUAUUAUUUGAGCUAAAGUUCUGAAACCAGACAAAGAGACCCCACAUAAUUUUUGUUAAAAAUUUCAAAACACACUAAGAAACUUUUACUAGUCUUAAAAGUUGUAAUGUAAUUUGGUAUUUUUAUUCUUUAAGCCAGAAUAGUCCCGUGCUAGUAUUAAUGCGACCACCUAUGUUUGAAACGAUGCAUAACAUUAUAAAAUGUAGGAAAUAUGAUUAGUUGUUUAGCCGGAAAAAAACUUGGAGUUAUUUUUUAAAAAAACUAGAACCCCACCACCACCACCACACUACACCCCUACUUUCACCACAACCACAACCACAACACCUAAAAACACAAACUAUCAAAUUUUGACAUUUAGGAAUUUUAUUUUACUAUCUAUAAAUUAAAUCAAAUUGGAACGAGAACUUUAUUAAUCCUUGAGGGUUAGAUGAAUUCAGCAACUCUCAUCUCAACAAACAAGUAACCAUACAAUAAUCCACAUUGGCCAUUAUUUAAAAUUUAUAUAUUAUUUCUGCAUAUAUGUAAAAGAAUUUACUCAAAAGUACUUUAUGUAAUAAUAUUGAUAUUAUUUAUAAAAAUGUGCAUUACAUUAUUAUGCAUACAUGUGAAAUGCAACUUCGAUUCAUGCACCGAGAAUGAGAUCCAGAUAGAAAGUCUCUGGUGGAGGAGUCCGGUUGCUCAAAACAUUCUAUACAAUUAAUUUUACGAGAUUUAUUUUGUAAAAAAAAACUUGCAAAUUUUAUAAAAUGCAUAAGUACCUCCCCCCACCCACCCACCCACAACCUAAAAUGCAUUAGUACCUCCUCCCCACCCACCUACCCACAACCUAUGCAUGAUAUCUUAGAGUCACAUUUAUGCUAAGAUCCUUUUAUCCCCGGAACUUAUUUUAUAAAUAAUUUUCUACCCUCUUUCGGCCUACCUGGCACUAGUUUGAAAAAAAUGUCAACACGCGUUGGGCCCACAAGAUAGUGUCAAGUAGGCCGAAAAGGGAUAGAAAAAUAUUUACAACAUAAGUUCAAGGGAUAAUAGGUCCUUAGUAUAGUAUAAGUGUGUCUCUGAAAUUUCAGGUAUAGCUUCAGAGGGUACUUGUGCAGUUUUCCUUUUUUUUUCCACCAACUAGACAAGAGAAAAUACAAAUUCCGAGCCUAAAGCUUAAUGAAUGACAACUUUUUUGAGAAUCAGAUGCACCCCUCGUUUUUAUAUUAAAAACUCUGAAGAAAGAAACCUCGCGUUAUCAGUGUUAGAAGCUUCGAAAGCAGAAAAGAGAACCCGUAUUAUUUGUAUUAAUCAAAAGCAAGUACAGAGACACAUCAUUUUUGUUAAAAAGUUUACGAGCAGAAUGAAGAGCCCGACCUUUUUAUUUGUACUAAGAAGUCAAAAGCAGAUAAAGAUAACUCAUAUUGUCAGUAUUAGAAAUUGUAGAAUCAAACUAAGAAACACACAUGCUAUUUGUGUUAAAAACUUCAAUAGUAAGCAAUGAGUCACAUUAUUUAUUUUAGAAAAUAUGAAAGCUUCAAUGCUAAUACUUAUGUGGUCACUUUAAUUUUUAACUGAUACAUUAUAUUAUAUAAAUAAAUAAAUUGGAGUAGUUUUUCAUAAAAAAGUAAAAGGUUUUUUUUUGGGACACACUAGAACCCCUACUCCCACUUUCAAAAUUUUAAACUAUCCACCUUUGAGAGUUCAACGAUUUUUCUGUAUUUUCUAUAAAAUGAAAAAGAAUUUUAUUUUACAAUGGAUGUAAGUGUAAAAUUCAUCCUUGUGGUUCGGAAAAAAUUCAAUAAUUUUGACCUUAACAAAUGAGUAAUGAUACGACAAUCCACCAUGAUCUUUCAUUAAUGUGAAAUUAUUUACCCAAACAAAAUUUGUUUUAGGGAAAAUACCCAAGUACCCCCUCAACCUAUGCCCGAAAUCACAGAGACACACUUAUACUAUACUAAGGUCCUAUUACCCCCCUGAACUUAUUUUAUAAGUAAUUUUCUACCCUUUUUUUGCCUACGUGGCACUAGUUUAAAAAAAAAGUCAACCAUCGUUGGACCCACAAGAUAGUGCCACGUAGGCCGAAAAGGGGUAAAAAGUUAUUGAUAAAAUAAGUUCAGGGGGUAAUAGGACCUUAGUAUAGUAUAAGUGUGUCUCUGGGAUUUCGGGCAUAGGUUGAGGGGGUACUUGGACAUUAUCCCUUUGUUUUAUAAUAUUGUUUAUUAUAUUAUUAGGCAUUCAUGUUCAUCGCACGUGUAGAAAAUUAGUAUUAUAUCAAAUUCUAAAAUGUCAUGAUACUCAAUACAACUUAUUCUACAAAUUUUAUUUUUUAAAAAGUUGCAAAUUUAAUGUUUCCAUUUUUACAACAACUAAACCAUUGAAAUCUGAAACGUUAAACUAUAAGCUAAUGAAGAUCAACUUUUUUACCAAACUAGAUAGACUCCGCUUUUAUUGAGUUAAUAAUACCUAAAGCAGAAAAAGAGCCCCCACAUUAUCAAUGUUAUACUUUAGAAGCAGAUAAAGAGAAUUCACAUUAUCUGUGUUAAGAACUCCGAAAGCAAGCAAAGAGCCACAUCUUUUGUGUUAAAACUUCAAAAGCAAACAAAAACCUCACAUUUUUUGUAUUAAAAAAUUUGAUAGCAGAGAAAGAGACUCUAAAUUAUUAAUGUUCAAAACUCUAGAAGCAGACAAAGAAAAUAUAUGGUAUAUGCCCAACCCACACUUAGCCUAACAUUCAAAAAGAAAAUAAUUAAAUGUUGCGACCUGAUUUCGAAAAAUGAAACAUUCGAAGUCGAUGUCGUACCUUCGACAAUUUUUGCUAAUGUUUUUUUGGAUAAUUUGUAACUUGAGAGUCGCCACUUAAUUUUCAGGUAAAAAUUAAGAGAACCAUUCAAAAUGAAUUUUUUAAAGAAAAAACAUUUAAAUAAACCAGAGUUUUGGGUAAGGGUUCAAAUAAUCCUCUAAGGAAGGGUUUAGGCAUCUUAGAGAAUCCGCAAACACGUGAUUUACCGACGAAUUUGAAAGUUUGGCUUAUUUUAGAAAGAAAACAUAGAUUACUUGUAAAAAAUCUUGUUUUAAAAUAUCUAUAUUUUUUUGACACUUGUACACUAAUCUUAUUUCAAGUAGAGGCGUCAAUAUGGCUAAGCCCGUUGGGCCGGCCUGGCCUAACCUGAGAUUUAAUAGGUUUGAACUUAGAUUUUUGAAGCCAAUUUAAUAAAAAGGUUUUUUAGCCCAGUCUGAAUAAGCCUGUUGAUUUGAUGGGUUUGAGAAAUAUAGGUAGGGUAGGCCCGUGGACCAAUAAUAAUUAAUUACAAAAAUUUAAUAUAAUAUUAAAAUUUAAAAGUAAAGAGAGUCCAAACUCAAAAUAAUUAGGUUAAUAUUUUUAUUUAUAUAUUGAUAUUUCUAAUUCAAGAUAGUUUCAGAGACCUCCCUCCAGGCUUCGCUCUAUAACACUCACCUUCCUGUGAUUUACGAUAUUACGUCUACCUCCCUUAUUUUUAUUUUCUUGUAACCCUUCUUUAAUCCUAUUUAAAUAAAUAUAAAUUAAUUUACAUUUGAUAAAUAUACCCUUAUAUAUGAAUGUUUAGAUCAAAUUUUCAAUGAUUUAUCUUUAUUCGUUGGAUCAUGUUUCUUCUUAGCUUGUGUAAAUGUUUAACUAGAAUAAAAUCUUAUCGUUCUUAUCGAAUUUCUUUCUUGGGUAGUUCAAUUUUGUCUUUUAUUUGAAGAAAUUGUUGCUGCAAAAUGAUGGGUUAUGGGGGAAAAAUUAACGUGAAUUGGUAUAGGUGAAAUUGAGAUAAAGAGUUAAUAUUUGGUGAAAAUGUGGGUUAGCUUAGUUGAAGACUUUGAUCUUUGUUGGAUUAAAAAAAAUAAGUCUUUGUGUUAAUUUAUUUUUAAAGUAUUUGUUAAAUAAAUUAUUUUUAUAUAAUAUUUAUUUAGAAGAAAUUUAUCUAAAAAAGAGUAAAAUUAUCAAAUCUAUAUUAAUUUAUAUUUAUUUUAAAUACUUUUAAAGAAUGGUUACAAGUUAAUGAAAAUAAGGGAGGUAGACGUAAUAUCCUAAACCAAAGGGGAGGUGAGUAAUAAAGAGCGAAACAUGGAGGUCUCUGAAAUUAUCUCUAUAAAUAUUAUAAAAAUAAUUUUAUUUUGAUUUAAUUAACAAGUACAAACAUUAACACCAGGUAAUAUUGCUUUGUCGAAAUUUAUGAUAAUAUUUUAAAUUAGAAUUUGAAACUAAAUUUAACAACUAUAAAAAAAUAUAUUUUUUUUAAAAAAGUGGCCUGGCCCGUCAAGCCACAAACUUGUGGUUUGGGUCGACCAUUUUUGCCCCACGCCAAAAAUGGGCUAGCCCGGCCUAACCCGUAAAAUGUCAAAGCCUAUAUGGAUUAGCCCGGAUGGUGUGGGCUAUCCCAUAUUGGCAACUCUAAUUCCAAGUAUAAAAUAAGUUAAAUAGUAUACUGUAAAAUAAUAAUUUCUGCUUAACAUUUUAUCCGAGGUAAAGUUUUACAGUUGAAAAAUCAACACAAUAACUUAAGCAUGAAUUUGAAAACUAAAUACUAACUUUGAAAGGAUAUUGAAUAGUUCUCAAAUUAGUCUUGAAGCUCAAAUUGCCUAACUUAAACUUUUACCCAUGUUCAUGUUUUGAACCAAUAUGAAUAAUUCAAAACUCCUAGUUAUGGAUUAAGGAACUUUGUUUAACAAUGAUGAAAGGAUAUAGAAACCUUAAGUCAUUCAUACAAAGUCUUUAGUUAAAUUAUAAGACAACUUAUAUAUAUAUAUAUAUAUAUAUAUAUAUAUAUAUAUAUUUAAGAAACUUGGCAAUUUCAUUCAGCUCAAAAAAGGAAUUAAAUUGUUAAUUCAAACUCAAAACAUGGAUUCAAAGCUUUU